CUGAAAACUCUAGUCGUUGUGGUCAGAGUAUGUCUCUUUCUGAUUAGAUUGAAUAAAGAAGUCUCUUGCUGAGUGCUUGAGCAAAGAAGUCUCUUACUGGGUGCUUGAGAAAAUAAGUCUCUUUCUAGAUAGAUUGAGCAUUGAAGUCUCAUGCUUGAGGGCAAAGCAAGGAAGUCUCGAUCAGUGUGAUUAAGCAUUGAAGUCUCAUGUUUGCGGACAUAGCAAGAUGUCUUGAAUGAGUUGUUCAUACAUUGAAGUCUCAUGCUUGAGGGCAGAGCAGAAGUCUCUUUCCAUGUGAUUGAGUAGGAAGUCCUGGACGGGUAGUUCAGGAAAUGAACUCUCUUGCUUGAGGGCUUAAGCAAAAGUCUCUUUCUAGUUUAACUGAGCAAGUUUUAAGUUGUUGAUUAUAGUUAAAAUAUCUUGUGCUGCAAUGAGACUGGAUUACUCUCAGUUGAGAUGAACCAUGAUAUAUUGUGUGUCUAUUUAUUUACUUAUGCAUUUGGACAUUAAUGUUAAAGCUUGGAGAUUAUAUUAUUGAAGAUGCUUUUCAUCUACGCGAGAGAGAACUAGUGAUGCAUUGUCGUGAAGAUUUUGGACAUUGAACCACACAUCGUUAGUUGCGUUGCGAGUGUGAACUGGCUUCGAACCUGCCAUUAGACGAGAACAUGGUUGUGAUGGUGUAACUGAGGAAGCUUGAGGAAAUCAAUGAAGAAUUCGAAAAAAUCAAAAGACGAUUCUCACACUAAUAACUACUAUUUCAUAUUGGAACAAAGAAUCGAUUAUUGGUUGAUGAUGAUCACUACAAUGAGGGUUUUGGUGCGGUGGUAAUGGUUCUUAGGUGAUUAGAGAGAAAUACUUGCAAAAAGCUAAUUCUCUAAUGCUCUACUAUCACUAUCAGAGUGAAACAAAACUUUACAAAUGUGGGUGAAAAUAGUAUUUGGGUGUGACUCAUGAACGCUGAGGCCAAGCUUUUGCGUGGUGCCCAAAAAGGGAAUCCACAUGUAUAUUAUUGAUUGACAUUCUUCAUAAAUUGAGUUUAUAUAUUUGAUCGAUAUUAAUUGGCCGAUUACCGGUCUAAAAAAAAUUGAUAUCCAUUAAACUAAUCUUUUUUUAUCAAAAUAAAUAAUUUUUAAUUGAAUAAUUUGUGAUUUAUAAAUAAAGUAAUUUUAUAAUAAAAAAGGAUGUAUGAGUAUAUUGUUUUUAUCUAUAUACCUAUUGUAACCUUUCUCAAAUAAGUUAAUGUAAAAAAACAUAUUAGUUAUACAUUUGUUGUUACUUUUUUUUGUUUAAAAUUAUUUAUUUGUUGUUAAUACAUAUAAUUAGACUUUUUGUACACAUCAAUUGAGACUUAGGUUUUAAUAUAAAAAAUUUAGACGUGUGAAACGUAAACGCAACAUUAGGUGAAAUUACUUGGUUUUGUCUUUCAUAAAAUGAUUCACAUGGAGUCAUAUUGACUAAUGUUAAUUUAUUUUUAUAAUAAUGUUGAUUAAUGUUUAUUUAUAGUAUCUAUCUUCCAAGUGGGGUGGUGGUAGUUGUUAUAAGAAUCCGUACUCCGGGCGUGCACAAAGAUAUCUGUUGCACGACUUUUAUUUUCUUUGAGAUAAAAAUUAGCAACUUGUCAAUUAAUUAAUAUUAUAUUAGUUCAAGAUAGAAUAGAUGCCAAAAAAGAAGAUAAAAAAAUUAACAUUUUAUACUGCGGGUUAGGUUGAAUGGACAAAUUAUAUUGUACUUAGGUUGCAUGGACAUAUUAUAGGUUGAUAACGACCACUAUUGUGAGGUUUGUGGUGCGGUGGUAAUGAUUCUCAGAUGAUCAGAGGGGGAAUAUUUACAAAAAGUUAAUUCUUUAAUGCUCAAGCUAGAAUUUGAGUGAGAUAGGUAUGUCAAUGAAUCCAACCGAAUGAAGAGUUUUAGAGAGAGGAACUCUUCAUUCUCUCUAAAACUUGUGGUUCCCUUGUUUGGUGAGUGUCGUCUCCCUUCUUAUAGGGGUUUCUCCUCCGUCACUGGAGCUCUUCUCCGCCAAUAUGGAGGUUGUCUUCUCUUCAAUAGAGGUCUCUCCUCCAUUGUAAGUUUUUCUUCCUUCCUUCUCACUCCUUUGCAUCACUCAUCUAUUUUGGAUCCAUGCCUUAUUCUACCUCCAACCUCCAUCAAGUUUCCCCUCCUCUCCGCCAAUAACCGUCAAAUGUUUGCAACUCCAAAAUCACUUACCAAUGGACUAAAGGGGUACGAACAUAAAAAAACGACCUCCACCACCAGAAAAUAUGAAAUUUCUGAGAUUUUGUGUGUGUGUGUACUUGUAAUGGUUAUUGUUAUUGUGUUUGUGUUGUUCUUGUUUGUGCUUUAUUUUUGUUCAGUUGUUUAGGUUGUUUUAAUUUUAUACUUAUGGUGUUCGAUGAAAUGCUUCAAAGAAGCUUGGAUGGAGAAGAUAUGUUUAUAAGUGAGAAUCUAACAAUGGUUGUUGCAAAUCAAACUCUCCUUUCUAGUCAACAGAUGAUUCCUCCAUAAAUUGUGAGUUUAAUCAAACUUGAGAACCUGUAUAAUUGAACUGUGCAACCCAAAGCUAAAGAGGUGAUAUGUAACUAGAUAGAUUUAAAGAUUGUGGUUCUUAAACUCACUUAUCACUUAGGUUUUGUUUGGAUUUAUGAAAUCGGAUGGAGCGGAGCGGAAUGAGAUGAAGUGGAAUGAUAUUUCAUUGUUUGGAUCAUUUAAAAUUUGAUGGAGCGGCGCAGAAUAGAAUGGUAUGGAUUCCAUUCCAUUCCAUCACUUACCACCAUAUUUCUUUCCCUCCAAUUUGAACGGAAUGAACAACUUGCCUUAUUCCGUUCUAAAAUUUUUAAACAAUGGAAUGGAGCAUUCGUUCCGCUCUGCUCCGUCUCACUCUGCUCCAAUCUAUUCCACUUUGUUUAUUUUAUGAUAUCCAAACAUAGCCUUAGGGAAGAAAUUUGUUUUGCUGCCUAGAUUAAGGAAUUGGAUUGAUAAUUCUCUAUUGAUUUUUAAAUUCUCAAAGUUUAUUGAUGUCCAUAACUUAGUUGACUUAAUUAUUAAUGUUGUUUUUAGAAUAUGGAUGAGAAAUGCCCUAACACAAUAUCUAUCAUUUGUACUCUCUAUUUUUCAUAUAAUGCAUGGAGUUAUUUAUUGUAAAAAAGAAAGAAAAAAAAGUUAGAGUUCGAGUGAGACAGAACGUUAUAAACAUGAGUGAAAAAAUAUUUGAGUAUGACUUGUGAACAAGAGGUCGUACUUUGUAUAGUAUCCAAUAAUAAGAUUCAUAUUGUACGAUAUUGAUUGACAUACUUUCACUAGAUCGAAUAUAUAUAUAUAUAUUUAAAUUUAAAAACUAAAAAUUAAAAAAAAUAUUUAUUAAAUUAUUUUUGCGAACAAAAUAAAUAUUUUUUUAUCGGAUAGUUUAUUAUCUAUAAAUAGAGUAAUUUUAUAAUCAAAGACGAUGUAUGAGUAUAUUGUUUUAUCUAAAUAUCUAGUGUAACCGUAAAAGAACAUAUUAAUUAUUCAUUUUGUUGUUAAUACAUAUAAUUAGACUUUUUGCCCACAUCAAUUGUGACUUAAGUUUUAAUAUAAAAAAUUUAGAUGUGUGAAACGUAAAAGCAAGAUUAGAUGAAAUUACUUGCUUAAGUAUUUAUAGAAAAUUAUUCACAUGGAGUCAUAUUGACUAAUGUUAAUCCAUUCUUAACAAUGAUAAUUUGUUUUUUAUAAUAAUAAUGAUUAAUGUUUAUUUAUAGUAUCUAUCUUCCAAGUGGUUGUAGUUGUUAUACGGAUCCGUACUUCAAGUGUGCACAAAAGUUUCUUAUGCACGACUUUCAUUUUCUUGAGAUAAAAAUUAGCAACAUGUAAUUAAUUAAUUUUCGUUAUGUUAGUUCAAAAUAGGAUACAUAGGCCAAAAAAGAAGAUACAAAAAAUUAACAUUUUAUAUUGUGGGUUAGGUUGCAUAGAUAAAUUUAUCAUAUAAGGAUGAGACUGCAAGUUCAAAUUUUAAUAUUAGAUAUAUAAUUAAAUAUUGUAAAUUAUUAAGGGACAAAAAUCUCCUACUUCAAGCACAUGACAGUAAAUUAGUUUUUUUAUUUUUUAUUUUUUUUUGGAAGAAGUAGUUUCAUUGCAUGCAUCCUUUAAGUUAGGCAGACUUAUGUUUAUUAAAUUAAAUUAAAGUAGUUUUGUCAUCUUAAAUUUAAUUUGUGGAGGGACUAAUUAUUGAAAGUGAAUGAAGAAUAUUUUUAUAUUGAGUUUGUUACACAAUACUAAAAUAUCAAUAAUUCCUUGCAAUUUUUUUUUUCAAAUGGUUGAUGCAUAUUCUAAGUAUUUAGAUAUACUAUUUGAAAAGAUCCAUUAACGUAUGAUAUGAUAAAAUUUUGAAUAAAAAAAUAGAAAUAUAUUUUUAAAUAAUUAAUAUUUUGAUCAUUCAAUCCUAAAAAACCCUUAUUUAGAUGUAUACAAUGUGAAAUAAAACAAUUAAAAAAAACUUUAAAUAUUAACUCUUACUCAUAUUACAUAUAAUAUAUUAUAUGUUUUAUGGCUCCAUAAAUAUUUUCAUCAUAUUAUAUUAUAAAGAAAUUAUACCUAAACUUUUGUAUCGGCCAAAGGUUCAAUAAGAUAAGGUUCAUUUACUUUAUCCGUUUCAGUAUAAAUUUUGAAGAAAUGUUUUCAGGUACAUAAUUUCUAAUAUUCACUUUCAGUGUAGUUAUCUUGAAUCCUAAUUAUUGACUUGGACGUUGAAGUGUUAACAAUGCAGGUACCCCCUAGGUCCACUAUAUCAGAGAUAAGCAACCGAAGUUCAAGAUUAACCUCAUCGAUUCCAAAAACAUCGAGAUCAUAACAUCCGAGCAAAGGUGCCGUCUCACGGAGUUACUUAGUAAGCUUUGCUCCGCCGUGGUUUUCGCAUUCUCAUCCAUUUCUGAUUCGACAACGAAAAAAGUGGCGUCGUUUGUGGGAACCACUUUAGAUUCCUUCAAUUUAUGAAAGUCAUGAUUGCUUCAGAAGCACCAUCAAACGGACAGAGAAAUUCCAGAUCCAGAUCCUAACGGCAAGUCACAAUUGCUUCUUGGUUCCAUCAUCCACUAUGCCUUCAGAUCUUAAAAUCGAAUAGCGCAAAGAGUCCAACGCCGAGAUCCAUGACAGACAGUACGUCAAAUCCUCCAAUUAAUUACGAUACUCAUCGACGAGAUCUAUAAUUUCCUCUAAAAAUCCCGUGAGUCAAUGGGAAAAACGAUCUGAGUGCAAAACUCGCGAACCACUAACUAGGCAGGGAGUCUCACGCUUUCCACAAUGACCUAGAUGGUCACAAAAGAAAAAUCAAGCAGGUAACACAAGUUCGUAGUUAAUGGAUCUUGGGCAUCGCGAGUUUGUAGUUAACACUGGGCGCCGAACAAAUGUUGGGGUGCAUCCCAUGGAUAACGUAUGAUUUCCAUAGGAUGCAUCAGAGUUUCCACCGACUGGAUAACGGAGCGAGGUUCCACUAGAAAUACCCCAUAAAAGAUAUUUUAGGUCCUAACCACAAGGAAACCAGUUGGUAUCCACGGGUGACCACUGUCCAACACUCUAGUUUGACAGAUUCACUAUAGUAUAUUAUGGGUUCUAGUUGUGAAGGGAAUGAACAAGUUAGAAUCUCGACGGUCCCUAGACAACUAAGCAAUUAGAUAUCCCAAAGAGAACUCUGAGUCUAGAUACGUAGAUCCACCUCGACCCCGAGAAACAGAGCAUGGCGCAUUCAUCAAAAACUAACAAUCUCCUAAUUUGAAGACCUAGUCCUCAUAUCAGCCAGAGGUCACACUGCCCGAACAUUACAUCCAAGGGCAAGCGAUCUGUAUACACUUGCAACCGACCAUAAUAUUUAAUUAAUGUAUUUAUAAAUAUAUUGCGUAACUUCAAUUACUGAUAUAAUUGUUAAAUGAAAACUAUAUACAUACAUGUAUUACUAUUAUAUUCUUAUUGCUCUACUUUUUAUCUUGUCCCCUCUUUAGGACACCACGAUGUAAAUGCAUGUAACAACGAACCUGAGCAUAAUCAGCACAGUUGAUGCUCGAGAUAAAGAUUUUGGGGGUGAUGUCGGGCAUAGUUGACUAAUACUGGUAGCAAUAUAUUCUGAUUUGUUGUUUACAUUCAAACCAUGAUCAUAGAUUUGACUAAUACUGAUCAAGUUAGUAGUUAGUCCUUCUACCAUCAACACAUUAUCAAGGCAAGGGAAACAUGGACAUACCAAUUUUCCCAUACCCUUGAUUUUCCCUCUAGCUCCAUCAUCAAAAGUAACAUAAUUAUUGGAGUAGGGUUUUAACUCUUCUAGAUAGUUCUUUUCUCCAGUCAUAUGCUUGAAGCAUUCAAUAUCAAAGUACCAAUCUUCUCUUAAGGAAACUCUAAGUGAGGCAUGAGUGAUGAGACUUAUGGUUGUUUAUUUGACUUUCCACAUUUUCCUUGCUUGAAUGUUCUUGCCUCUUUUUCUAUUGUGUCUUGGUUGACUAUAGGGUUGAGGAUAUCCAUACAUUUUAUAUCAAUAGGGUCUUAUAUAACCAUACUAUAAGAGAUGUACUAAAUGUAUUUUAUACCACAUUUUCUACCACGACAAAAUAUAAACUAGCAAAUGGACAAAUUUUUAACCAAAAUAUGGUUUAUAUGUAUACAUUAUAUGUAAGCACCAAAAUAUGACUUUAAUAUAGUACCAAAAUGUUAAACAAAACAAAAUAUUAUUUACAUCAAACCAUCAUACUCAAAAAUAUUGAAAACAUAUAUUACAAAAUCAAUGUGAUCAGUCUGGCCUAUAAAUUGCAUUAAAGCAAGAUGCCCAACGUGUACGAACGUCUUUAAAGCAAAAUCAAUGAUAUAUAUAUAUAUAUUAUAGUAUAUAUAUAUAUAUAUAUUAUAUAUAUAUAAUAUAUAAUAUAUAUAUAUAUAUAAUUGAAUAAAUGGAGGAUAAAUUGAUUUGGAACAAUAACAAACUUUUGUGCAUGCGAUAUAAAUCACUAAUAUGUUAUUGUAAAUAUAUAUAUACUUGCUCUCAAGAAUCAACAAUGUCGGCAGAGACAAUGUUUAUCAUGUACUUUAUGACAUACAAACCAAACUUGUAUCCUUAUGGUUGUUUCCUCAUCUAAAAACUUCAAACAUUACAUGAAUAUAUAAACAUACAUGUAAUUAUAUAUAAGUGAAUGUCAUAAGUAACCCGCUUAUCAAAGGCGUAUAAAAAAUUCGAGCCUUUUAUUUCUAACCUCGUUCAACAUAUUUUGUCGCUCCAUAACUCUAUAUAUUGAAAACAACUUAAACAUAUUACACGCUAAGAUAAUUACAAAGUCAAUGUAAAUAUUACUAAAAGUAUCAUAAAAUAUAAACUUACAUCAAAAGUAUACGUUUCAUCUUUGGUUCAAGUGGUUUGGCUAAAGAAAUAAUAUAGUGAUCAUAUUCUGCCGAAGAGAGAUGAUGAUCAAUUGUCAAUGACCACUGAAUGAACACGGAUAUAAUUAGAGUUUAGUAAAACAUGGAAACUAACUAUAAUAAAGAAAUCACAAUAGCAAAAUUAGUCACAGAUCGAUAAAUGAUGCUUAGUAACAGUCUUUAUUCCCUUCUCUGAACUGUGAUGAUAUGUAGGAUUCAAUCACUUUUGAAGAAUUAUCUGUAAAUCAAACACUAAAUAGGUCCAAGAAUCCAUAAAUAUAUGAUUUAUUUGAUGUUAUACAAAAACGAUGCAUGCACCUAAAUGGUUAAAUAAAAUUCAAAAAACAAGUGAGUCUUAACAUUAAAAUUACUGAUGUGCACACAUUUAAAAUUGACAUUUAUUAGAAUAGAAAUUGUACUUAUGUGCACCACAACAGUAGUAUCCCUACGUCCAACCACUCAUUUCCAAACAAAAAAUAUCUCAUAUCUUUAGGAUCAAUAUAAAAACCCUCUAUCUCUUGAUCAUGCUCUAAUUGAAGAGGAAUUAAUUUCUUAACAUCCAUAAUGUAACAUACCAAUAUUUUAAAAAGAAUCGUUCAAAGGAACCGUCAUCUUAUUUUAAGUACGGGCAUGGGCAGUCAAACAAUUUCCUUUUGUGUUCGCACCACCUAAAACAACACUUUCAGGCAAUUCAUCAUCUUCAUUUGUAAUCAAUUAGAAGAUUACACCCAUCGGUGCCAAUUUCUGCCUCAUAAAAAGAACAACAACACACAAUGCAUAAACAUUAUUUAUCCUACAGCAACACAACAUAAAUUCAACACACAAAAUGGUUUUCAUAUAUAUUUUUAAUUCUUUUGAUUAAAUAAUUUUAAAUUUUUUCAUUUUAUUUUUAUUACAUUUCCAAUACUGAUGGAUAUGCAGUUGUAUUUUAUUAGUCUUCAUUAAACCCAAAUUCCUAGCUAACUUAACAUGCCUUCCACCAAUGCAAUUGAAAGAACUACUACUUUAAAGAAACAAGAAGAAUUUAUGAGAACAAUCAUUAGCCAAUCAUUAUAUAAUAUUUGUUAAAUAUAACUCUGAUAAUAAUCAAUUGAAUACUUAAUUUGGCUAGUAAAGCUGAGGGAAAAUAGCUAGACGUCUUGUCCUUGAAUGCUGAUAAGUUAUUUUUUCUGAAUAUUUUGUUAUUUACAAAUAAAAAUAAUGUUAUCUAUUCAAUCAUAAUAUCAAUUUAAUAUUUAAUUUUAAACUUAAAUAUAUUGUAAUUUUGAUACUUUUUAAUCCUCCCUUUAUAUAAAAAUAAACAUAUGAAUAUUUAUGCAAAUUAAAAUUAUAUUUAAUUUAUAAUUUUAAUAAAAAUAAACUAUUAAUAAUUAUAAAUUUUUAUUACUAAAUUUUUAUUUUAUUUUAAUAUUUUAAAAUUUAUUAUCUUCUCGGGUUAUUCUUCCUUAUAUAAAAACUUCUAAAAAAAAAUUGAUAAAUAAAAUACUUUACUUUAACCAACAUAUUACAAAAGGGUUUAUAUGAUAUUUUUUAGGGUGUGCAAGUCGAUCUAUAACAUAGAGUCUCACACUUUUUAAUGAUUAAGAUGUGAUAAAAAAGAUCUCCAUACACAUGUUUCAGAAUUAAUUUACGGUUAAAUAGAGUUCUUUAAUAGAUUUCCCAACUCAACCUAAACAAACUUCGACUUCUUAUACAAGACCUCUAAAAAAUUUGAGACAACCCUAAGAGUUUACAACAUGAUUCACCAUAGAAAUGUUAGGUCAUCAAUUCUUUGGGGAUCAACACGAGGGAGCAUCUACAUACAUUGGAGUCUUUAUUUAUGAGUAACACAUCUUAUGAGAGAUAUACCACAUACUCACCCAAAACUUUAAGGUGAUAUGCGUAUGAAUUCUCUCACUUGUAAAAUACUUAAUCUCAACUUUUCUAAUCAAUGUGGGACUUCCCACACUUUGUUCCUCAACACUUUCAACUCAAACUUGUUUUUCUCAACAUUCUUCUCAAAUUGUGAGUCUAUCCACAAUGCUUCUACUCUAGCGGAAACUCUUUCAUCCACAUACGCUUGUAGAGUCGUUGACACUUUUUCAAGCAACACACCUCAUGACCACCACCGUGUGGGAAAGACUUUCGAUACAAGGGAGUCAGUCCUUCACUCGAACCAUCGACCUAUAAUACAACAGUUGGGUCAUCAAUCUUUUGGGGUCAACACGAGGGAGCAUCUAUACAUUGGAGUCUUUUUUAUGAGCAAUACACCUUGUAAGAGAUACACUAUAUAUUCACUAAAAACCUUAAGGUGAUAGAUAUAUGAGUUCUCUCACUUAUAAAAUAUUAAAUCUUGACUUUUCUAAUUAAUGUGAGACUUCUCACGCUUUGUUUCAACCUUCCAACUUAUAUUUCUUUUUCUCAACAAGAAAGAUAAAUGUUUACUCUAAUUUCAAAAUGGUUAGUUUGAGAAAUAAUCCAAUAUUGAUAAAAAAAGUGAAUAUUUAAUUAUCGACAUUAAGUUAGUUUCAUAACACAUCUCAAAAAUGUCUUAUAACAUCUCUUAAAAAUUAAAUAUUUUAAUUAUAAUAGUUUUAAAAAAUCUUAUUCUAAUAUUUGCUUUAGACUUCACAUUGACCAUAUGACACCCAUGCUUCUUUUAAAUAAUACAUCCACCGAUCUAAAUACAAUUCUUUUAACUUUCUUCAAAAUAACAGAGUACCUAAUCAAAAUAUUUGAUGUAUUUUCAUUGAUAUAAUAUUAUAUUAAUUAUGUUCAAACAUUAUAUUUUUCAUUGAUAUAAUAAGAAACGAAUAUUUUUCUUUCUUUUUUCAACUAGUCUUUUUGAGGAUUCUUUUCAUCUAAAUUGGCCUUGUAUUUUGACGAAUAAAAAGUCCAACUCUUGCUUUGUGUUGUCUCUAACCUAGUGACAAAGGAUUUAACAAAGUAAUAUUGUAAAAUCACCAUAAACAGAAAACUUAAAAUCUUGGUAAAUCACCAACGUAACUAUUUUUUUUGGGAUAAAAUUGAUAAAUCAGAUAUUGUUUUUAUUAGAAUAAAUUUUGUCAUAUACAUGGAAGUUAAAAAACGCGCGUUUGAAGUUUUUCGCAACUUAACCAAACAAACGAGUUUUUCACGGAAAAAUUGAAACACGUUUCUUGUUUUUUUCUUCUUAUUAUUAUUAUUAAGAAUGAAAUUUAAUAGUCUAUUUUAAUUAGCAGAUAAGAACAAAAGAUAUUUCUCAAUUUAGGUUUAGAAUAUGAAUUAAAAUUAUCAAUUAUUUCGAACUAGAACUAGAAAUUGGUAGAGAUCGAAUAGAACGGAGUUCUGAUGCGGUGGAGUCAACUUCCGCUACGGCGGAGCACAGUAAACAUAUCAUUCAAACGUCAAAGUUAGUGAAUGAAUGAAAAAAGUAGUAUGGAUGUAUGAAUGAAAGAAUACUUGAAACGACACAUGUUAAACUUUAUAUAAUGGGAGCGGCUAAAACUGCCCCCUUAUGAAUUUGUGUCUUACACAGGGACUGCCCAAUUGUAUCUGAUGAUGAAUGAUCAUUCGAGGGUGAUGAUCAAGUGCGGGUCCCCUAGUUGCAUGUCCCAUAAGCCCUUAACAUCUUGGCCAACAUGCCAUUUUCUUGAUCUUUACUUCUGAAUCAUCAUUUCACUAGGCUUUCUUUUUAUAGUGUUAUAUAAGCUCUCUUCAGAGUGAGCGAAUCCUCGUGAAACCACUCAUGUAUUUCUCACAGUGGUAUGCUUUGGUGGUACUUCAUCUAAUUGAUCUUUAGUGUCAUUUGUUUUCGUUCUGAUAUUAAUAGGGAGUGCCACCCAAGGUUGGAGUGAUCCCUUCUCAAUGUUCAUUAGAAUGAGUAGAUUUUCCCACUCACUAAACGUUCCUCCAACCAUGGUGUUUGUGAUCGAUAGUCCAUUAUCCUUUUCAUUGUCAGAUUGUUUUUUCUUUUAUCCACUUGAGUCACUUUACUCUUUCAUUACGGGCUUUCCUCACAUGGUCUCUUUUAUUUGGACACACUCUUGUCUUGGUGGGAGAAUCUAGACAACAUUUCUUCUUUGAUUGAGUUUUUAAUGACUUCCUUCAACCCUACACACUCCUUUGUGUUAUGAAUGUUACAACGAUGGAAAUGACAAUACAAUGAUUUGUCAACUUCAGGAUGUUCCCAAUUUAGCUUUGUGCUUGAACUUGCUAUUCUUGGAAUUCUGCUUUGGUGCAUUCUUGCAUGAUACACCCUCUCAAUGCAUUCUGAAGGGUGUAAUCCUGUUGUCUGGAUGGUGGCUCCCAUUGCCUUCUCGGCAUAGUCAGGAAUCCUUUUUAGCUUUGAUGCAUUCUUGCAUGAUGGACUCUCUCGAUGCAUUCAGAAGAGUGUAAUCUUGCUAUUUGGAUGAUGGUGGCUCUUGCUUUCUCAGCCUAUUCAAGAAUCCUUUUUAGCUUCAUCCCUUUUCUCAUUUCUUUUUUUAGUCUUCUUAGCUCUUUUUUUUGCUUGUCUCCACUUUCUCGAGCCCUCCACCAUAUAGUGUCAUACUCAGGGUCAACUUUUCUUUAUAUUAUAUAUAAUUCUUGACCUUUCCAAGUAGGUUGAUAAAUUUUUUUGGGUCCUGAUAGUGAUGAUAUUGGCAAAUUUAAAUCUCAAUUGGAGUUUAAGACUUAACACAUAUUGUAGAUGUUUGAUUGGCGGCAUUUUGUGUUAAAACACUAACUGUACUCUGAUGUCUUGACUGACGUCAUGACAUGCCUUGUAGAUGUUUGAUUGGCUGCAUUCUGUGUUAAAACACUAACUGUACUCUGAUGUCUUGACUGAUGUCAUGACAUACUUGAGUAGUAUGCUGCAGGUUUAGCUAAUACAGGAUACUCUGAUGUCUUGACUGAUGUCAUGACAUACUUGAGUAGUAUGCUGCAGGUUUAGCUAAUACAGGAUUUACUGAAUGUCAAACUAGAUGUUAUGACAUUCAUCCAUGACAGCAAAUACUGAACUAUAAAAUAGUUGGUUUUUUCUGUUAUAACUCAGUAUUGAGUUCAGUCUGUGUUUCAGGAGAGUAGCAGACCUGGCACAUAGCCUACUGUCUGAAUGUCAAACAGAAUAUUAUGACAUUCAUCAUUGUCAGCAUUUACUGAAUAAUAGGCAGGUUGGUUUUUCUGCUACAGUUCAGUAUGUAUUUCAGUCUGUUUAUCAAGGGAAUAACAGACCUGGCAUAAGGCUCAUUGUCUAAAUGUCAAACUGGAUGUUCUGACAUUUAUCUCUGUCAGCUGAUACUGAAGUGUAGACUGGUUGGUCUUUUACAGUACAACAUUUAGUACAGUCUGUUUUCAGGAAAAUAACAGACUUAGCAUAUGGCCUAUGUUCUGGACAUCAAACAGAAUGUUGUGACAUUCAUUCCUGACAGCAUAUGCUAAAGUGUAGGAUGGUUAGUUUUUCUGUUUCAGUAUUUUUCUCAGGCUAUUUUUCAGGAAUCCAACAGCUGAGCUAAAAUCCAGGAAACUAACAACUGAGCUACAAUUAAUGAACCUAACAAAUAGCCUAUUUGUUAGCACCCUAAUAUGUGGAAAUUAGGUUAACUUGCUUAACCUUAAUUUUAGGAAAUACAAGUACAAGGCCCAAGUGCUGCAAUAUAAAAGGAUGGCAAUCCUNNNNNNNNNNNNNNNNNNNNNNNNNNNNNNNNNNNNNNNNNNNNNNNNNNNNNNNNNNNNNNNNNNNNNNNNNNNNNNNNNNNNNNNNNNNNNNNNNNNNNNNNNNNNNNNNNNNNNNNNNNNNNNNNNNNNNNNNNNNNNNNNNNNNNNNNNNNNNNNNNNNNNNNNNNNNNNNNNNNNNNNNNNNNNNNNNNNNNNNNNNNNNNNNNNNNNNNNNNNNNNNNNNNNNNNNNNNNNNNNNNNNNNNNNNNNNNNNNNNNNNNNNNNNNNNNNNNNNNNNNNNNNNNNNNNNNNNNNNNNNNNNNNNNNNNNNNNNNNNNNNNNNNNNNNNNNNNNNNNNNNNNNNNNNNNNNNNNNNNNNNNNNNNNNNNNNNNNNNNNNNNNNNNNNNNNNNNNNNNNNNNNNNNNNNNNNNNNNNNNNNNNNNNNNNNNNNNNNNNNNNNNNNNNNNNNNNNNNNNNNNNNNNNNNNNNNNNNNNNNNNNNNNNNNNNNNNNNNNNNNNNNNNNNNNNNNNNNNNNNNNNNNNNNNNNNNNNNNNNNNNNNNNNNNNNNNNNNNNNNNNNNNNNNNNNNNNNNNNNNNNNNNNNNNNNNNNNNNNNNNNNNNNNNNNNNNNNNNNNNNNNNNNNNNNNNNNNNNNNNNNNNNNNNNNNNNNNNNNNNNNNNNNNNNNNNNNNNNNNNNNNNNNNNNNNNNNNNNNNNNNNNNNNNNNNNNNNNNNNNNNNNNNNNNNNNNNNNNNNNNNNNNNNNNNNNNNNNNNNNNNNNNNNNNNNNNNNNNNNNNNNNNNNNNNNNNNNNNNNNNNNNNNNNNNNNNNNNNNNNNNNNNNNNNNNNNNNNNNNNNNNNNNNNNNNNNNNNNNNNNNNNNNNNNNNNNNNNNNNNNNNNNNNNNNNNNNNNNNNNNNNNNNNNNNNNNNNNNNNNNNNNNNNNNNNNNNNNNNNNNNNNNNNNNNNNNNNNNNNNNNNNNNNNNNNNNNNNNNNNNNNNNNNNNNNNNNNNNNNNNNNNNNNNNNNNNNNNNNNNNNNNNNNNNNNNNNNNNNNNNNNNNNNNNNNNNNNNNNNNNNNNNCUAAUAGUGGAUUUCCUCCCUGGCUUGGUAGCCCCCAGACGUAGGUGUGUGUGACACCGAACUGGGUAAACAAUUCCUUGUGUUAUUUACUGCACUUACAUUUACCUGCUGUUUACAUUCCUGUCUACGCAGAAUCGGAUGUCAUAACAUCCUGUGUGACAUCGAUAGUCUGUUAACUAGAAUUUCAAUUGGCAUCAGAGCAGGCACCCUGCCUGUUAAUUUCUGGGUGAGAUCUAGGGACGUUACUUUCUAGUACCAUGGACAAGGAUGUAGGAUACUCAAACAGACCACCCAUGCUGGAUGGUUCGAACUAUGAUGACUGGAAACCUCGUAUGAUAGCAAGGUAUGGAGAGCUGUCAACAAAGGAUGGGAACAUCCAACAAAGACAGGUAAAGAUGGAAUCAUUCUGCAAAUUCCUGAAGAAGAGUGGGACAAGGAGCAAGAGGCACUAGCCCUUGGAAACUCUAAGGCCUUGAAUGCACUGUUCAAUGGAAUAAAUAAAAACAUUUUCAGACUGGUGCAUCACUGUGAGCUGGCUAAAAAAGUUUGGGAUACUCUAAAGAUAACUCAUGAAGGUACCUCCAAGGUGAGGAUGUCUAAACUUCAGAUGCUGACCACCAAGUUUGAAAAUCUGAGGAUGAAAGAGGAUGAGACUAUUCAUGACUUCCACAUGAAUAUUCUUGAAAUUGCCAACACUUCUGGUGGCUUAGGAGAGAAAAUGGCUGAAGAAAAACUUGUAAGAAAGAUUCUCAGAUCAUUGCCAAAGAGAUUUGCCAUGAAGGUCACUGCUAUAGAAGAGGCUCAAGAUAUCUGCAAUAUGAAGGUUGAUGAGCUUAUUUGUUCUCUCCAAACCUUUGAAAUGGGCUUAUGUGAGGAUGUUGAAAAGAAGAACAAAAGCAUAGCUGUUGUAUCAAAUACUGAAGAGGAUUCAGAAGAAGGAAAUAUUGGAGGUAAUGAAAGCAUUUCAGAAGCUAUAACCAUGCUUGGAAGACAGUUCAACAAGUUCAUAAAGAAGGUUGAUCAAAAGGGCAGACCUAAUGUCAAGAACUCUUCAUCUGACAUCAGUAGAAGAUCAAAAUAUGAAGAAAAGGUCACCCAAGGCAAGGGAAUCCAGUGCCAUGGAUGUGAAGGUUUUGGUCACAUUAGAGCUGAAUGCCCUACCUUCCUCAAGAUGCAAAAGAAAGGGCUAUCUGUCACCUGGUUUGAAGGAGAUUCUGAGAGUGAAUCUGAAGGAGAAUCUGCUAAACAUGUCACUGCACUAACGAGUGUUUGUGCCUCUGAUGAUGACUCAAGUGGAGAUGAACUUACCUUUGAUGAACUUGCUGCUUCAUAUAAUGAACUAUGUGUCAAAAGUGCAGAAGUGUGUAUCCAAGGAGAAAAGCAGAAGAAACUCAUCAAGGAGCUGGAAGCUGAGAAACAGAAGCAGCUGACAGUCAUAGAUGGUCUAAAUGGUGAGAUAUCAUUGCUGACAUCUAAGCUAGAACAAAUGACAAAAUCCAUCAGAAUGCUGAACAAAGGAACUGACACCUUGGAAGAGAUCGUAAAGGUGGGACAAAAGUCAGGAACCAUGUCUGGUUUAGGCUUUGUUAAGAAAUCCUCAACUGAACUCAAAAUCUCAAAGGCUGAAGUUCAGAAUCUCAAGCAGAAGUCACAACCAAUGUCACAACAUCAGGGAACCAGGAGGAGUAACCAUCAGACGAAGAAAUUUCAGAGAUGAAGAUGUCACUACUGUGGUAGAUUUGGUCACAUAAAACCCUUCUGCUACAGGUUGCAUGGUUAUCCUAACCAGACCCCUCAAGUCAGACCUAAGCAGAAGGCAUCUAAGCAUAAUGCCCCCAUUAAGAAACAAAUGGUAGAUUUGGUCACAUAAAACCCUUCUGCUACAGGUUGCAUGGUUAUCCUAACCAGACCCCUCAAGUCAGACCUAAGCAGAAGGCAUCUAAGCAUAAUGCCCCCAUUAAGAAACAACAAUGGGUUACUAACCAAACACCUCAAGUCAGACCUAAGCAGAAGGCAUCUAAGCAUAAUACCCCCAUUCAGAAACAACAAUGGGUUGCUAGACUAGCUCACACAUCUCUAAGGGCUUCUACCAGACAAGAAUGGUAUUUUAAUAGUGGUUGCUCAAGACAUAUGACUGGGAUGAGUAACUUAUUGGUGGAUAUACAACCUCAUACUACCAGGUAUGUGACAUUUGGUGAUGGAGCUAAAGGAGAAAUCACAGGUGUUGGUAAGCUGGACUGUCCUGGAGCUCCAAAACUGAGUAAUGUGUUGUUAGUAAAAGGACUAACUGCUAAUCUUAUUAGCAUAAGCCAGCUAUGUGAUCAAGGUUUCUAUGUUAAGUUCAAUAAAGAAUUAUGUAUUGUGAUGAAUGGAUGCAAUCAGGAAGUUAUGAGAGGAGCCAAAUCCAAAAAUAACUGUUAUCUGUGGGAAUCUAAAGUCUCAAACAACUCUCCAAAGUGCCCCUUAGCCAAGGAAGAGCAGGAAGUGAAGCUUUGGCAUGGAAGACUUGGACAACUUCAUUUAAGAGGAAUGAAGAAGAUCAUAUCCAAGGAAGCAGUUAGAGGGAUCCCAAAUCUGCUUAUGGACGAAAGAAAAGGCUGUGGAAAAUGUCAGGUGGGCAAGCUAACCAAGAUGUCAUAUCCCAAGAUGGGACAUCCAAAAUCUUCCAAACUUCUGGAACUGGUGCCCAUGCACUUAAUGGUACCUAUGCAGAUUGAAAGUCAUGAGUUGUCCUCACCUAUUAGUCCUCAUCAAACUGGUGUAGUUGCAAGGGAGAAACAAAAGUGUGUAUCAUUAUCCACUGCAGAAGCUAAGUACCUAGCAUCUGGUAUCAGGUGUUCCCCACUGGUAUGGAUGAACCAGAUGCAGACUGAGUACAAUGUCACUCAGAAUGUCAUGACAUUGGAUGUUACUCAGAUUGACAAAUUAAGGGGCAAAGUGGGAAUGUGUCCUUCUGAGAAAUUAUAGCAACUAAUGAUGUUAGUUAUUUAUUGUUUAAUAAGUCAACUUAUUAAACAGUUGAUAAUUCACUCUGAUUGGUCAACAAAUAAUAGACACUUCUCGUGCAACAAGCGUUUCCUCUUCCAUCAUUUCAACUUUCAGACUUGCAAGCUUUCUCUCAAAGAAACUUUUCAUUUCUCCUCUGAGAUAUUCAUCAUGUCGCACCAAUCCGACUCAACUUCCUACACGACCAUGUCUGAUUCCUCUAGCUCUGAAUCAUGCAACCCUAACAGGGAAGAUCCUGUGCCUGGCUUUGCGAAUUCCUCACAUGCAAGAAGACCUAAAGAAACGGUCUCAGGCUUCUCCUCAGCAAUCGCGCUUGAUGAACAAACCAGGGAAGGCUCCAGGUAUGUUCACAAUGCCAUUGCAACUAUGGUGACUGGAAUUCUGUCUGGUAAUCAUAAAGUUCUUGGGGUCUCAGUUCCCUUAAACACGAUUGUUUCGGAAAAUGUUGCUUGUCAAGAAAAUACAGUUUCCUUAGGAAAGAAUGUGUCUGAUGAUGCUGAGCGAACUGAUGCUCAUGAGGGGUCAAAUAUUGACAAACCCUUAGACAAUAUGGGUGGUGAGGAAAUCCGUGUCACUCAUGAUGUUAGUGACAACCCUAAUUGUGCAGCUGAAACCGUAGACCUAGAGGAGUUUUCUGAUAAUGAGUUAUUGACCUCAGUUGUCCCUAACAUAGCCAAAAGGGUUAGGACUAGGAGAGAAAAGAAGACAGUGGUGCAGAGGUCCCCAAAAAGGAAGAUUGAUGUGGCAACUUCUCCCAAUCCAAAGGUGACAGAGAGCUCCCUCAAGAGGAAAGGGCAUGGUCCAACAAAAUCUUGGAGCAAAGAGGUGCCCAAGAAAAUGAAGACCAAGUCUGUUGUUGUGGAAUCUGACUCAGAUGUCCCAUGUGAUGUCACAACAUCUCUGUUGAGGUACCUAUUGACAACAUAUCAAUAUCCAUUUGGGCUUCUUGUGUGAACAAGGUGGAAGUGUUUAGUCACAAGAGGCUCCUGGAAUGUAAGGAGAUUGUAGACCUUAUUCAAGAGGCAGGGUUAAUGAAAACUGUGACUCAGCUCUCAAAGUGCUAUGAGAUUUUAGUAAAGGAGUUUAUUGUCAAUGUGUCUGAGGAAUAUGCUAAUGGAAAGUCUAGGGAAUUCAGAAAAGUAUAUGUGCGAGGCAAGUGUGUGAACUUAUCUCCCUCAGUAAUCAACAUGUAUUUGGGAAGACCUAAUGUAACUCAACCUGAUCUUGAGGUGACUGACAACAAAAUCUGUCAAGUCAUCACUGCUAAUCAAGUCAGGAAGUGACCUCUGAAAGGUAAGUUGGUGGCCAACAAACUCAGUGUCAAGUAUGCUAUGCUGCACAAAAUUGGAGCUGCCAACUGGGUGCCCACCAAUCACAAAUCUACUGUGGCUGUGAUGCUUGGAAAGUUCAUAUAUGCUGUUGGAACCAAAGCCAAGUUUGACUAUGGAACCUACAUUUUUGAUCAAACCAUGAAACAUGCAGGAAGCUUCAGUGUCAAGGGGCAUAUAGCCUUUCCUUCUGUCAUAUGUGGUAUUGUGUUGAAUCAAUUUCCAAACAUAAUGACAGAGAAUGAUUUUGUGAAAAGAAGAGAGAGUCAUUUGGCCUUCAAUCAUAAACUAUUCCUAGGUAAGCAUGUCCCUAACAUUGCCAUGACAACAGGAGAGACAUCAAGUGUUUGCAAUCAACUAGGUAAAGCUGCUGUCAUUGCAAUACUCAGAGAAACGUGCAAGGAGCUAGAGGCAAGGAAGCUCACUUUGGAAAAUUUGAUUAUCAAAUUGGAGAUGACUGAUGAUGGUGUGCUUGGUGAAGCUGUUGAUGCCACAGAAGGAGCUGCAAGGCAAAGUGCAGAGGGUGAAGAGGAUGCCAGUCCUGAUGAUGGCACUGAUGAUGAGGCUGACUCUGAGUCAGAUGAUUAAAUCAUUUCCUGUGUUUCUGACAAGUUUGUGUAAUUCUGUUUUAUUUUGGUCUGUAAUUUUAAGUGUUGCUUUGGCAACAUUUUUGAGAAAAAGGGGGAGUAACACCUGUGCCCCAAGACAACAAAUUUGCUAUGUGCUUGAAUAGAUAUUGAAGAUCCUCUAGUCCAGAGGUUGUGUUGCAGCUUGAUGUUCAACUGCUAUGUGUGAUGAGUGUGUGUAUGUGCUGCUGUUAGAAGUUUUUAUUUAACUUUUGUGUGUGUGUGUGCUGCUGUUUGAAGUUUUUAUUUAACUUCUAUGUGUGCUGCUGUUUGAAGUUUUUAUCUAACUUCUAUGUCUGAUGAGUGUGGUGCUAUUCUGAGUGUAUUAGCUAUGUUAAUUUCUCUGCUUGGAUGUGUGUUUUCCGUUGCUGUGAACUCUGUUGUGAUGCCAAGUUGUUUUAGCCAAAAAUUUGCCAAAGGGGGAGUUUGUAGAUGUUUGAUUGGCUGCAUUUUGUGUUAAAACACUAUGUACUGUAGCGGUGUGAUGUCGCCAUAAUGAUUUAUCGAUUAAAUUCAUGAACCAGAGAUUACAAUUGAAAUUUUCGAGUCGCCACCGCACUUUUAUUUCAUCCAGGAAUGGCUAAAAAGCGAACAAAAGCCUAAAAGUUUACAGUAGAAAACAAUAAAAAAUAGAGAUUCUGGGUAAGGGUAAAUGUACGCAAUGGAAGUGUUAGGCACCCCUACGUCCCAGGUACUCCUAGGGACCCUUUUCAACACUUGUUGUAACAGAUUGUUAUUGUUAUCGACUAGAUGUGCAACAUGUUGGGAUGAUUGAGAAAGAAUGUACAAUUUUAUGGUGUUUGAAGGGAUGACACCGUCCUACGUACUUCCCAUCAAAGGUAAGGACAAAACGACCGUAGUUCGGCUAAAAGUAUUCCAAAAGUUGGUGGAUUCAGUUUUAAACACAACACUGAUGCUUCUUCUUAUCAAUGGGAGGAACACUCGACAAAAACAACAUCCACCAUCAUGGAGGCAUAGCUUCGACGUACUAGAGGGUUAGCCCCUGUUUCAGCACGGAAGUCUCUACUGUCUGACUCACUAAGGAUAGGCAAGAUUUACAUCAACCACUAAGAUUGAAUUGAAGCCUUAAUGGCUAAUGCAUGAAAAGAUAACAAUGGACAAAGCCAAACAAGUGAAUGAGUGAAGUUAAUUGAUUGUGAUAUGAAAAUGAAGUCCAAAGAAUGAUUAAAGAUUGAUUCGAAAGAAGUGUUAUGAAAUGGAGUUUGAAAAAAAGUCAAGGACUUGGGUCCAGGUUUUUUUUAGUAGAAAACAUGAAGAUGUUUGCACAACACUUAUGUCAAGUUUGAAAUCAAAGUGUGAAAAGGUUUAGGACCAAAUGGGAUGAAUGGAUGGAGAUGGAUUGUAAAACUUCUUAGAAGGUUCACCUCUUGAAAUCAUAUAGGAGAUGAUUCAAGUGUGCCUUUGGAAUAGCAAUGGAUAAUAACAAACAAACAAGAAAGUCAACAAAAGCGGGAUAUCGGAUGCCAAUCACUGGGCUAUACCAAUCUCCUAAAUAUAGACGGAUAUCAGAUGCCACUCAAUGGUCUUACACUAAUCUCCUCAAACAAAGAAAUAAAAAGGUGGAUACCGGAUACCAAUAGAUGGAUUACACCAGUCUCCUAAAACAGAAAUGGAAUCAGAGGCCACUCAAUGUCUUACACUAAUCUCCUAAAACAAAAUGAAACUUGGAUACCGGAUGCCAAUCUGUCUGGACUUAUACAAUAUCAACAUAUGAUCAUAGGAAAGCAAUGCCAACUUGCAGGGACUUACAGUUGCAACCUCACAUAAACAAACAAAAGCAAAACAUGGAUGUCAGAUGCCAAUCUGUCUGGCUUACUCUAACCUCCACAGUAUGGUCCUAGGAAUACAAAUGCCAACUUGCAGGGACUUACAGUUGUAUCCUCACAUACAAACAAACAAAGCAACAUGUGAUCAUAGAAAGCAAAUGCCAACUUACAGGGACUUACAUUGCAACCUCACAUAUAAUCAAAUGCAUCAAGCAAAGAUAAGAUGAGUGGCCAAUGAAAUGGUCUUAUACCACUUCCAUAUCAUAGGAGCAAUGGCCAAUGAUGGUCUUACAAUUGUCCUCAAUGGGUAAACACAAUGAUAAGGUCUUAAAGACAAAUGAGAUGAUUAUGUAUUAAUGAGCAAUUAAUGAUGAUGAUAAAUGCAUGAAGCAUACAAAGCAAGCAUGUGCAUAUGAAGCAAUCAAGCAAUCAAUGAAUAUCAAAUAGCACACUCUAUAGCCAAACAAGAGUCUCACACAAGAGGGUUAGGCACUGCAGGCCAACUGGAAUAGGGUAAAAGAUUUGCUCUAACCUUGCCAUUGAGAGGCUAAGGUGAAGCAGAUGGAAAGGAGAUGAGGGGUGUGCCUCAUUGCUCUUAUCCCUAAUCAGGGAGGCAUUUCAGAAAGUGUGGGAGUUCAGAAGUAGGAACUCUCUCCACAUUAUUGACUCGAUUGAUCUUGGGUUUUGAUCUCAAUGCUACAACCAUGUAAUGGGAGCAAGGAGAAGACUCACAGAAUAGUAGGGAUAGGUUGUUAUCCCUUGAUCUACCAUUGCCUUAUUUGAAGGACUUUUCCUGCCUGGGACAAAUAUAAACACACACAAGCAUUGCCUCUUAAGGAGGACUUCAGACAGUUUGCGCCGGCCUAAAUACAGGCCGGGUCUCCAGACUACAUGAAGAAAGAGGGAUUACUCAAAGCAAAUGCUAAAUAGCAAAGCAAAGCAAGUUCAAAGAACUAAGCAACUAAUGGUACCUGAAAUAGUCAAACAGAAUCAGUACACAGUUCAAAAGUCAAAGCCAAAAUGGAAUAGAAUUAACAGUCAACAUAAUCAGCAUGAAUGUGCAAAGCACAAGGCAACAAGGCUUAUGAGCCAAGCAACCUACAAAACAAAGAGGUUAGCACAUGAUAAACAAUCAAGCCAAACAAAUUGGAUUGUUCUCUUGAAGCAUUGUUGCUUUACCUGAAACAAUGAGCUCAAAUAUAAGCAACAAGACCACUAGGACAAGCCUAGGGUCAAAAUGAAAUGAGAAAGUCAAAACAGCAAGGGAGGUCAACCAAAACCAAGUUUAAACAAUCAAGAAGCAAACUCAAUUGGUCCCACAUGCAUAUCAUUCAUCAUCAUGAUUUUAUAGACAAAAGAGUCAAAACAUGGCAAAUGAAAGCUCAUAGAAGUCAACAGCAAGACUUGCAUCAAAAGUUCAACUCAAACAUUUUCAAAAAAUCACCAAAUAAUUCAUGAUCAAUCCUAACACUUAGCAUGGUAAGCGUGUAAAAUUUCAUCACAAUUGGACAAGUGGAAGGCAGUCAAUGAAAAUCAUGAAGUCAAAGCAAAUUUGAAUAUGCUCAAUGAAGUCAAACAAACAUGUAUCAACUUCAAAAAAUCAUAACUAAAUGAAAACAGAUGAGAAAUGAAUGGGAUCAACACCAAUGCAAAGCUCAAGAUGUCUAGUAUGCACAUGUAAAAUUUCAUGAUCAUCCAAUAAGGUAUGAGAUUUCACAAAGGAAAUGGCAACAUGUAUCAAACAAGUCAACAUUUGGUCAAACAGGGGAUAAAAUCUCAAACAAUUUGGAAAUGCCAUAAUUAAUUCCAGGAAAAUUCACACAUCAACUAGACAUAUAAGAGAAGGAUCAUGCAAAAUUUCACAUUAAUUGGAAGCAGGAAGCAUGUCAAAAAAAAUCAUGAACUUGCAUAUCAUUGGUGUGACACAAAUUGUCACACCCUACUUCAAAAAAUUCAUAUCUCACAAACCACAUAUGAUAAAUUCAAAACUCUACAUCAAAACAAACAUGAAUGAGUGUAGAUUAACCACAAAAAAUUUCAGGGCAUUGGAUACAUCAUCACAAUUCACAAAAGAAAUGGCAAAAGGUGUAAAUGUUGCUACAUGUCAAGAAACCUAAUACCAUUUAAAAUCCAGCCAACCAAAAAUUCAGCAAAAAUCAUGAUAAAAUAGUAGACAUUCAACAGGACAUGAUGCAAAAAAUUCCAUGAUUUUGGAGUUGAAAUGAAAAUGUUAUGAAUUUUGUAAGUUGAAGAAUGAAUUUGGAUAAGUAAAACAAAUGAACAUGGUUUGGAUAAGUCAACGGUUGACCAGUGGCAAUUUGUAAAUUCGGCACCACUAAUCAAAACGGUGCGCUUAGGCCAGGCACAUGAAUGUUCUCAUUGGUUGUCACCAAUGGAACAGUAACUCAAGCAGAACAACAGCCAUCCAUACACGAGUUCUGGGCAGCUUUAGGGUUUUUAAAGCAGCAAAUUCACUUUCAUGGUCAUCAUUAUGAGAAAAACGAAAUUCACCAGACUUCAUAAAUAUCAUGGCAAUGAAACAGUAAAUUCAUGCAACAUCAUUCCAAAGCAAAGACCAAAAAUGAUUUAAAGAAAAAUCUGGAAAAUAGUUCUUAGAGUUUCAACAGCCACAGCAUAACUUCAUCACUACCAAUCAAUCGUGAAAAUCAAAGUGCCCAGAACAUGAAAUUAAGCAUGGCAAUCAGCACAACAAACAUCCAGCAUCAUAAAUCCAGCAAGCAUUAACAUUAAACGAGCUAAUCAUCAAGAAUCUUGCAAAAUAAAAAUGACUAACAAACUUUAAACUCAGAUUUCUCCUAGCAUAGUCAACCAAUUCAAGUGAUACAAGUUGCAAUGGACUCAGCAAUGAAUAUUCUACCAUAAACAUAGCAUGAUUAGAGAGAAAAGGAGAAUCGAAAUCUUACUUGGAUUUGAAGAAACUUGAGAUGCAGUGGUUAUUUGGGUUGCUUCAAGCUCAAACAGGUGGAGAAUUAUAGUUGGAAAUGAUGAAUACUCGAGGAAGCUUAGCUCAGUGAUGCUUGGAAGAGUCCAAAUUUGAUUUGCCAUUGAAGAUGCCUUGAAGAAACAGAAUAUGAAAUGAUCUUCCAGCUGGGGUUUGUUGCCCUGAAAAGGCUCUCAAAUGUUGCUAGAUCAUGGAACAAACAAGAGAGCUCGUGGCCUUUUGAAAUCUUUGAGCAGAAAUUGCAAUUUUUCAAAAAAAUGCAAAAUGGAGAAUGAGAGUUUUCUGUGCGUUUUCAGGCUGCUGCUAGGGAUUGAAUCUCACAGAAAUGAAACUAUAAUGGACUGUUUAGCAUUAGUUAAUGAUAUGCUAAGCUUGGUUAACUCAAAUGAAGCCAAAAUGCCAAAUUGCUAAUUUUCAAUAUAUGCAUAUGGGGGUAUGGUCUGGCCGAGUUUGGGCCUUGUGCAAGCUUCAAAUGACAUCUUAAAUCAAUCCCAAAUGGUCAACUUGACAGGAAAUUACUUAAAUCAAAACCUCAAAUUUCACUUCACUGUGAAAUUCAACCAUGCUAGGUUCAAAAUGCCAUUUUUUGAUGGCAAUGUUUUGGCACAUGAAAUUUAUAUUUUUGGAAGAGGAGGUAAAAUGUGGUUUGUUAGGAAAAAACCCCACUAAAAUUGGCCUUGUGGUUCAUGAGAUAGGCUCUUUGAAGUUCAAAAUUUUGUGAAAAGGAAUUGAUCAUAUCUUGACAACCAUUACAUGGGAUUGAGAAGUUCUUGGACUUUUUGAAAUGGGAGAACAAGAUCUUCAACUUUCAUGUUGGGCAAAAAUUCAUUUGAAGCUUGUAUCAUGAUGUAGGUAGGAUCAAGAAGUUUCCAUUUUGGCAGUUAAAAUUACAGGUCCACUUCUAUUUUGGGAAUUUUCUGAUUACUUGAUUUUCUUCCAUGAUGGUAUUUGACAUGAUAUAUGAGGCUAAUAUAAGCAUGAAUAGAGACCUCUCAGACCAAAUCCCAUCACCAAAUCACUGAUUAAAUGGACAGUUGACAAGUUGACUUCAGUUGACUUUUUCUAGGGUUUUGCAUGAUUGAAGCAUUUCUGAUGAAUUCCAAACCUAAUCCUGAGAACUUGACUUCAAUGAUGUCCCAAGUUGUAUGAACUUUUGAUUAUUGAUCAUGGUGCCCAAAUUCUGCAAGAAUGGCCACCUAUCCACUGCUUUGGAACUGACUGUUGACUGUCUUUGACCUAAUUGCUGAUGAUUGCUUCAACUGCAAGCAACAAGGUUAGACUGGCAUAUUUUGUACUUUUGGUAGUAAACAUGAUGAAAGCAAAGAAUACAAUGCAAGACAUGCUGCGUGAUCAAGAAUCAACACUCACAAGGCCAAAACCCACUAGGAGGGAAGCUAGGGCAUGCAAUUGAUCCUUAGAGGCCAUGAUAUGAUAUGGUGGGCCAUGAGGGAUCUUAGGGCCCAAAAGUGGGUCUUACAGAUGCCCCUAUUUAAGGUCAUCUAGCCAGAGAAAUGAAGUUUAGAAAUCUUCAUCUCGACGCGGUAGAAUGGGCUUAAAUAACAGUUAAUGAGACAAAUUUUGGUCCUAAGAGACCUCAUGAUGCAAAUGUAUGGAUGCAAAAGACACAAAUUCUGUGUGGGAAUAUGAUUCACACAGAAGAAAGACGAUCCAUCGGAGUAGUACACUCACCAGGAACAGAGACUCUAACAAGACUCUAGUUGGGGGUAGACAACACUGACACAGCCGUGAACAAGACACGACUCUGAUUAGGAAAUACAGAAAACAGACUGGAGAACUCACUGGGAGUGAAGGACUCACACUGGAAAAGAAUUCCAAAGAAAAUAAAUCCAUUGGAAAGACACAAGCUGACUCGUGGGAGAAGCAACAGGAAAACUUCACUGAGGAAGCAACAAAGAAAUGAGAUGUUACCGGUAUAAGGGUAACAAACUCAGGAAAAUCUGACUCCACAGGGGACCGAGGUCAUAAUAGGGAGCAGAAAGGAGGGAACACCAAGGAUACCGGUUACUGGGUAUAUAAUAGGUGACCGACCGAAACGUGAAUUGGUUUUCACUUCCAAAACACUCAUCAUCCUGAAGAGAGCUAGAGAAUCAAACUUGUUUAUAGGAUGGAUGUUCGAUUCCACAAAGAAUACGAACCUUACUCGACUGGGGAGAUCAACAAAGGACUCCAACCAAAGAGCGCAUGAGACAUAUUAUUCAUACCGGCAGACCGUGAAUAAUAUACUCGAAAGGAAAAUUAUCCUGAACCGGUUACUGGGUUGUUUAUAGGAUAAGAUCCGAAAUCAUGAAUUGGUUUUCACUUCCAAACACUCAUCAUCCUGAAGAGAGCUAGAGAAGCAAACUUGUUUAUAGGAUGGAUGUUCGAUUCCACAAGGAUACGAACCUUACUCAAAUGGGACACAAACCCAAAGAGUGCAGAGAUUACAAUAUUCCAUUACCGGCAGACCGUGGAUAAGAAACUCGCAUGAGAUAUAUUAUCUAUUACCGUCAGAACGUAGAUAAUAAACUCGCAUGGUAAGAAACACCAGAGAUACCGGUUACUGGGUAUAUAAAAGGUGAUCUACCGAAAACGUGAAUUGGAUUUCACUUCCAAAACACUCAUCAUCCAAAACACAAACUGGUUAAAGGAUGGAUAUUCGAUUCUACAAAGAAUAUGAAUCUUGCUCAGCUAGGAAAAUCAACAAAGGAUUCCAACUAAAGAGCGCAUGAGACAUAUUAUUCAUUACCGGCAGACCGUGAAUAAUACACUCGCAUGGAAGAUUAUCCACAACCGGUUACUGGGUUAAUAAAGGAUAAAUCAACCGAAAAGAGAGGUAUCGGGAUACCAAACUAGGUAUAUAAUGAUGACCAAUCAAAAGGAGCAACAGACAUUACCAACAAAAGGGUAAAUGAAAGGCAAUCUGCUGAGGAUAAUUUGCAAGCAUCCGGCAAUUAUCUGCAGGGACUAGCUGGGGAUGUAUUGGUGUACAACCAAUGAUCCGGGGAACAAAUCACUAGCAAACGGUGAAAGGACGCGCUGGGGAUAAAAUUGCUAGCAUACGGCAAUUAUCCACAAAAGACUUGCUAGGGAUAUAAGUGCUGAUCUGAGCAACUUAUCCAAGCAAAAGGAAAAUCAACAUCAAAGACUAGAUGAAGAUAACCACUUGCUAGGGAUAUAAGUGCUGAUCUGAGCAACUUAUCCAAGCAAAAGGAAAAUCAACAUCAAAGACUAGAUGAAGAUAACCACAAAAUUAGGGUUUACAUCUACCGAAUACGGGGUAGAAGACCAACAACUCCACGUGGGGAUAGAACAAGUUACAAAUCCGCACGGGAAACCGAAAUAGGGUUUAUAACAAACCACAAACUGCUGAAGAGCAGGAAAAUAGGAUUUACAACUACCGGUAUGAGGUAGAAAACCAAAAUUCUGGCUGGAGAAUAAAAGGUGUAUAACCACAAAUUCUGUCAAGAAAGCCAGGAGAAAUAGGACUUAUAACUACCGGUUUGUGGGUAGAGGCCCAAAAAUAUUCCGCUGGGGAACAACCCACUGGGAAGCACAAGACAUCUGACAAAUAGCCAAUUCGGGAAUUAUCCGAAAAGACAGACUGAAUCAAGACACGUCCUAAUGAGGAUAUAACUCAAAUAGGAAAAUCCAUCCCAAUAUAUGUGUUGGGAGGAAACGGAAGAAACCGCCAUCCACGAGGAUAUAUCUCGGUGGGGAACUGCAGAAGGAAAGACAACAUUUUCUGCUUAUGGGGUUGACUCUAUAUGGAGAGAUUUAAAACACCCGACAUCUGCUUGGGGAGAUCUGUAAAGAGAUCUAUAUCACCAUAGCAGGAGACACGACAACAAAGGAUACAUGGCAAGAAAUGCAACAUGAAUAUCUGAAUGUUUUAUGAAUAUGCAUGAAUAUGCGUGAUUUAUGUUUGAUGAAUGCUGACAAAACAGACAAUUCUAACACAAACAGGUUCAGAAGCAAACGUCCGGUAUUAUACUUCCAGGGGAAAACCAACUGGAGAGCCAAUCUGCGGAGAUCCAUAUGCUGUAAAGCAAAGAUCUGCGGGUACUGCUGAAGAAGCAGAGAAUCAAAGAUAUCAGGAAAUAACCCAAUCAGGGUACAGAAAGUCACAACGGGCAAAGCAGCCACCAAGACGAAUCUGUAAGGGAACAAGAGAAAACCCAAGAUAUCUGCAGGGGGUCCCAGUGUUAACUGAGAAACAAAGGGUGCAUAUUGCACAAGCACGAACUGCUGUAGAAGCAAACUCCACAUAACUCCACUGGGGGACAACCCACUGAGGGAGAAUGAUAUCUUCCAAAUAGAAACUAACUGCAUAAACAACUCUACUGGGGAAAACUGUCAGCUAUUCUCUUGGGAACAAACCACUGAGGGAUGGCAGAUCAAACAAGUAGAUUCUGGAACGAACCACUCCACUUGAGGAGAAAAUACAUAGCAAACUGAUCACAACAAGUAGAUUCUGCAAUAUAACCACUCUACUGGGGAUCACAAACAGUCAGGAAAUCAAUCCGUUCGCUGGAGGCCAAAGCCAUCAUCCAACCAUUCUGGGGAUUGAAGGAGAAAUCAACAGGCGAAACUGCCACAACAAGCACUCUGCAGACUAUGCUGAGGAAAAGGUGGUUGAAAUACUGGGAUGUCAACCCAAAUCAACCACUGAAUAGGAAAAUAAAUCCUGCUCUGCUGAAGAGAAAAACUCUGAUGGAGAGAUAGCAACAAUUCCGCAGACGACUUCGCCGGGGAAAGGGUAAAGUACCGGGUAUCAAACCAUUGACUUACCAAACCUUCAGAAAGAAAGCGAUCAUGCUGAGGAAACAGACAAUUCUGCUGGCAACUGCACUGGGAAGAGUGUCGACAACUCUACUCGCAAAUCCAAUGGGGAUAUCUGUAACACCCCAAAUAUUGUUAGAGUAAUUUAAAUAUUAUUUAAUAUGAUUAUUGGAAGGUAAAAGGAAUUAUUAAAUAAUAUCGGGAAUUAUUAUUAUUAUUAUUAAUAUAGGUGUUAUUUAUUUUAAUAAUAAUUAAAUAAUAAAAUAAAUGGAAUAUGAAGAGUGGAAGGGUAAAAGUGGAAAUUUGAUAAGAGGCCAAAGGGAGAACUCAGAGUGUUUUCACGUAUUUUGCCUCAGAGUCAGAGACAGGGGAAACGCUGAAGAGGAAGAGAACGAAAGAGGGAAAAAAGGCCAAAGAUGCUCAGAACUUCCUUCAAUCCAACGAGGUAGGGGGUCCUGAACCUUAUUAAACAAUAAUUAUGCUGAAAUGGUGAAAUAUUGAUAACGAAAUGGGAUUUUAAUCGAGGAAUCGUAGAAAUUAUUGCAAUGAUGUUAGGAUUGUGACAAUCGAAUAGGGAACUGUUUGUAUAGAUAUUUGAGUGAUUUGUGUGAAUUUAGACUGUGGAGGAUGAAUGUGGAUAUAUCUCGUUAGCAGAGAAAGCCAUUGCAGAUCUGGAAAUCUGGUUUCUGGUCAUCGCGUAUGGACACUAGCAAUAGCGUAUGAGAUGGCUGGUACGCGUAUGGCACUAGGCAAACGCGUAUGAUGAGGAGAUGAUGUUUUGAACGUGUUUGGUCUCUGUUGGUACGCGUAUGGGAAUGUGAUACGCGUAGCAUACGCGUAUGGACAUGGGCAAUACGCGUAUGGAAUUGGUCAGGCGUGGCAAUACGCGUAGGGCAUAGGCAAUACGGUAUGGGCAGAAUUGUGGUCUUUCCUGGACUGUUGUGAGCAGUUUUUAUGUUUAGGCUGAGCGAGGUACUUAGCUGAUGCAUGGUAUAGAGGGAUCAUUCCGUUGCUUGAGUGGUAUAGAUAUUAGUAGAGUGUGAUAAUACUGUGUUGUAUUAUGUGGCAUGAUGUGAUAUGUUUUGUGAUAGAAUGUGUUAAUGAUGAUGAUAAAUGACUAUAUGAUGCUGUUGUUGCUAUGUUGAUUAUGAUGCAUGCUUGUGUGAUUGCAUUCAUGAAAGGCGAUGCCUAGUGAUGAACGGACUGAUUCCAAUGAUGUUGUUGACCUCCGGCUGUUAAGAGGCUGGUUCCUGCGGGACAUCGGAUUCUAUGGUGAUGAUCUGGAGUGGUGAUCCUGUAGUUGGUCCAAAAAUGGGUAUACGAGUCGUGUUGAGUCAUGCAUGGGUGGCUGCAUUGAUUUAUAUUUAUACUCAUAGAUUAGAUUAUGAAUGAUUAUGAUGAUUAUGAUGAGCUGUAUCUGAAAUAUAAUUUUUUUAUAUUCUGUCGUUAUAUUAUUAUUUAAUAAUGUAAUUCUCCCCUUCUGCAGUGUGUUAUGUUCAUCUAUGAUGAGCAAUGUGCAGAUAAAGAGGAGUAGCUAUUGUUGAGGUUGAAGAAUAAGAUUAUUCUACAGGGUCGAGUCAAAUGCCUGGUAUGUGACACGGGUUAUGGGAUGAUAGAUAAUGAUUAUUAUUUAAGUUGUUUAUGAUGAUAACAUGUUGAGCUUUGUUGAGAUAAUGUUGAACCUUAUAUGAAUUGUUAAUGAUGAAUGAUAAUAUUAAUAUUGUGUCCGCUGCGAAGUUUAAUAAAAUAAAUAAUAUAUGUUUAAUGUUGUAAUGCGAUAAUAUGUUAUUAAAGAAAUGUAAACUCUUCUACAUGUUGAACUCUGAUAAUCUAUUUAAAUAUGUCGUUGGGUAGAAGGGUGUACAUUAUGGUAUCAGGCAUGGUACAGUUCCAGUCGAGUCAUAAUGUGAGUUUUCCUGAGAUCGAUUAGUGUAAAGUGAACUACGUUCGAUAUUAACGGUUGUGGUGGUUGUGCAGAGUAUGGCUGGAGAAAAUGACGUUGGCGAUGCUGAGGCUUUGGCUGCUAUGGGCGCAGAGCUAGAGCAGCAAUCCGCCGGUCGAGAGUUUAAGAAUUUGGGAAGGUUUCUGAAGAAUAACCCUCCUACAUUCAGGGGCGCUAUGAUCCAGAUGGUGCUCAGAAUUGUGGCUGAAGGAAAUUGAGAAGAUUUCCGGUGAUGACGUGUAACUGAGAGCCAAAGAAGGUGCAUCUUGGUACGCAUAUGUCUGAAGAGGCUGAAACUGGUGAUACACUCGACAGAGGAUUGAAGUACAGUUGAGAUGACUUGGGAAAGGUUCAAGACGGCUUUCUGGAGAAUAUUUCCUGCUGAUGUGCGAUUGUAAGAAGGAGAUGGAAUUUCUGGACUGAAGCAGGUAACAUGUCUGUUGCUGAUUACGCUUAUCAAGUUGAGGAGCUGGUACGGUAUUGUCCUCAUAUAAAGCAUGCUGAGGAAUCCAAGUGUGUCAAGUUUGAGAACGGGUUGCGUCCGAGAUCAAACAGGCAUUGGUUACCAGGAGAUUCGUAGGUUUCCUACGCUGGUUAUAGUGCAGGAUAUUUGAUGAAGAUAGCAAGGCUAGGACUGCUCAUUACAAAGAGUCUUAGUGAGAAGAAGAAUAGGAUCGUGGGUAUUAAUGGUAAUAAGGUAAGCAGAAAGUGGUAGAUGAGAAGAGCCAAGUGGAGGAGGAUCUCCAUAGCUGGUAAAUGUUUAAUGUGGCGAGCGGCCACCGUGGAUAGCUGUACCAAGAAAGUGCGAGAUGUUUCCGAUGCGGUCAGGCUGGUCAUAGAGUUACGGAUGUAAGGACUGGUCCGACAUGUUUUAAUUGUGGCAGAAAGGCCAUUCAGUUUGCGAGUGGCUCGAACCGAAGAAGGGGCUACUGCAGCUCAUACUACUGUGGGUGGUUUGCUCUGAGUGGGGCUGAAGCUCCUAAAGAAGAUAAUCUGAUUAUAUAGCUUGUUGAUAAAUAAUGUUGAAUUGCUUGCUAUUGUUGAACUGGUGCUACUCAUUCGUUUAUUUUGUAUGAGUGUGCGACAGGAUUGUGUGAUUAUGUGUCCUAGGGGAAGUAGGUGAUAGAACUCCUGCUAAUGGUCUGUAAGACUUCUGUUGUCUGUCGAGGUUGUCGUUUGACGACUUGAGAGAGAGUUCGUAGUUGAUUUGGUGUGCUUACCUUGCACCAUUGAUAUUAUUUGGAAUGAAUUGCUAGAAUUUAUGUAUCAACUGGCUAUAGUAAGACGCGUGCGGUUUUCUGAAGUUGGUGAGAAUGAUGAGCAUAUUUCUAUCUGCUAGGCAGGUGGGGGGAAUUUGUUGAAAGAUGGAGCUAGAUAUUCGCUUUAUUUGCGCUCUCUGCACGGAUAAGAAGUGUGAGUGUAGAUUUGCUGUUGUCUGUGAUUUUCAGUGAUGUGUUGAGAGUAAGUGAACCUCCAGAACGUGAAGUCGAAUUGCAUUGACUUAGUACCAGGUACGAGUCCAGUGUCCGAUGUCUCCUUAUAGAAUGUCGGCAAUGAUUAGUUGAUUGAAGAAGCAACUUGAAGAUUGCUUGAGAAGAAGUUUGUGCGUCAAGUGUUUCUCUUGGUGCACCAGUAUUUGUUAGUGAAGAAGAAAGAAGGUACGAUGAGGUUGUGUGUCGAUUACGCGCAGUUGAAAUAAGGGACUAUCAAGAAAUCGGUAGCCAUGCCGAGGAUUGAUGAUUUGAUGGACCAGUUGGUUGGAGCUCAGUGUUUUCAGUAAGAUUGAUUUGGCGGUCGGGUUAUCAUCAGAUCGAGUGAAGUCAGAUGAUAUUGCGAACACUGCUUUCCGUACGAGGUAUGGUCAUUAUGAUACACUGUGAUGCCGUUCGGUGUGUCAAUGCUCCGGUGGUUUAUGGAAUAUAUGAAGUAUAUUUCAAUCGUACUUGAUAAUUUUUGUGGUGUUCAAGAUGAUAUAUUGAUAUAUUUAAGACGGAAGAAGAGCAUGCAGGACAUCUGAGAAUUGUCUUUGGCAGGUGUUAGAGAAAAGAAUUAUGCAAAGUAUCUAAAUGUGAAGUUUGGUUGAAGAAGUGAGUUCCUUGGCCAUGUGAUUUCGAGUGGUGGGAUUCUCUGUUGAUGCGUGCUAAAGUUGAUGCUGUAUUACAGUGGGAGACUCCGAAGUCUGCUACUGAGAUACGGGCACUUUCUGGGGUUAGUGUUUUUAUCGCAGAUUUAUUGAAGCUUCUCUAAGUUGGCAUUGCGUUGACGCAGUUGACUAAGAAGGAGUAAUGUGUGGGAUGCCGUUGUGAGACGAGUUUUGUCGAGUUAAGAGGCGGUUGACCAGUGCUCCAGUGUUGAUCUUGCCUAAUCCUGGUGAGUCCUUCGUUUAUACUUUUGAUGGGUCUUGGUGGUGUUUUGAUGGCAGAUGGUAAAGUUGUAGCUUAUGCUUCUAGACAGUUGAAAGUUCAUGAGAGGAAUUAUCCUACGCAUGAUCAGAACUUGCAUAUUGUGAUUUGUGUUGAAAAUGUGGAGACAUUAUCUGUAUGGUUCCAGGUUCGAAGUGUUCAGGAUCACAAGAGUCUGAAGUAUCUGUUUGAUCAAGAAGAGUUAAAUAUGAGGCGAGAAGGUGGUAGAAUUACUGAGGAUUUUGACUUUGAAUUGAGUCAUCAUCCCCGGUAGCUAAUGUAUUGACCGAUGCGCUGAGUAGAAAAGUCUCUACAUAUGUCUAUGAUGAUGGUUCGAGAGCUUUGAGUUAAUUGAACAGUUCCGUGAUAUGAGUUUGGGUUGUGAAGUUUCCGCUGAUAGUGUAAAGUUGGGUAGCUGAAUGUGACUAGUGGAUAUCUGGAAGAUAUACGGAAUGGUCAGCAAGUUGAUGUCGCUCUAGUUGAUCAUAUUACUAUGGUUAACCAGGGAAUGGUGGUAAUUUUUAGAUUGAUGAGACUGGUAUCCUGCGAUUAAAGUAGAGUUGUUGUUCCAGAGGUGUCUGAAUUGAAAAGAGUAUUCUUGAAGAGGGUCAUAGGAGUGGAUUGAGUAUCCAUCCAGGUGCAACUAAAAUGUAUCAAGAUUUGAAGAAGUUGUUUUGGUGGGCUAGUAUGAAAAGAGAUGGUUGCUAAGUUUGUGUAUGCCUGUUUGACUUGUCAGAAGUCAAGAUUGAACAUCAGAACACCGGCAGUAUGAUGCAACCUUUGCAAGAUUCUGAAUGGAAGUGGGAUAGCAUUUCUGGAUUGUUGUGACGCGAUUGCCGAGGACGGACGAAAGGUAAUGAUUCUAUUAGGUAUUGUGGAUCGUUGGACUUAAGUCGUGCGCAUUUCUUGCCGAUGAAGAAUCUAAUCCUCUUAGAGAAGUUGCAGAGUUGUAUAUGAGGAGAUAGUGAGGCUGCUGGUAUUCAUCCAUCAAGAUUGUUUGAUAGAGAUCCAGAUUACUUCUAGAGUUUUGGGAGUAAAUUUGCGAAAGCGUUGGAGCCAAAUUGAGGUUGAGUUCAGCUAUAUCCUAAUAUGGGUCAGACCGAAAGAACUAUCCAAUCUUGAGGAAUUUGUUGAGAGUUGUGUGUGGAGGCAAAGUGGUUCUUGGAUAGUUAUUGCCGUUGGUGGAGUUUACUUAUAAUAAUAGUUUCAUGCUAGUAUCGGCAUGGUCAUAAAGCAUUGUAGGUAGGUAGGUGUAGAACCCCAUUUGUUUUUGGGUAUGAAACUCAGGUGAGAGUUGUGUAGCUUAGACCUGAGAUUGUGCAGCAGACGACUGAGGUUAAGAUGAUUCAGGAGAAAAUGACCUUCUCAGAGCGUCAACGAGAUUAUACAAUAACAGGAGAAAGGCACUUGAGUUCGCAAGAGGGAGAAGCAUGGUGGUUCUUAAAGAGUGCGCUGUUCGACGACAGGUGUGGGUAGAGGCUUUAAAUAGUCUAAAAGCUACUCGAGUUUGUGGUCGUAAUAGAUUUUGAAGAGGGUUGGGGAAGCGGCGUAUUCGGAUAGUUUACCUGCGUCGCUUUCUAAUCUGCAUGAUGUGUGUCAUGUAUUCUCAGUUGAGAAAUAUAUUGCGUGAUCCUUCGCAUGGUUGUUCAGUUUGGAUGCAUAUCCAGGUGAGGGAUAAUUGACGCGUGAGUUGCUUAAUUCGGAUAUGACCGAGGAAGGAAGACCCGAGACGGUAAUAGAAGAUGCGUGCUAGUGAAAGUUGUUUGGGAGGUCAGGCUGGAAAGUGUGACCUGUGGGAGCGGGAAGAUCAGAUGAAGGAGUGUCAUACCGGCUCUAUUUGCUUGAUGGUAUGUUUUCGAGAUACGAAACUUUCUAAAGUGGGGAUGAGUUGUAACACCCCAAAUAUUGUUAGAGUAAUUUAAAUAUUAUUUAAUAUGAUUAUUGAAGGUAAAAGGAAUUAUUAAAUAAUAUCGGGAAUUAUUAUUAUUAUUAUUAUAUAGUGUUAUUUAUUUUAAUAAUAAUUAAAUAAUAAAAUAAAUGAAAUAAUAAGGUGAAGAGUGGAAGGGUAAAAGUGGAAAUUUGAUAAGAGGCCAAAGGAGAACUCAGAGUGUUUUCACGUAUUUUGCCUCAGAGUCAGAGAAAGGGGAAACGCUGAAGAGGAAGAGAAGAAAGAGGAAAAAAGGCAAAGAUUGCUCAGAACUUCCUUCAAUCCAAAGAGGUAAGGGGUCUGAACCUUAUUAAACAAUAAUAUGCUGAAAAUGGUGAAAUAUUGGAUGAACGAAAUUGGGAUUUAAUCGAAGGAAUUCGUAGAAAUUAUAUGCAAUGAUGUUGGAUUUUUGGAAAUCGAAUAGGGAACUGUUUGUAUUAGAUGAUUGAGUGAUUUUGUGUGAAAUUUAGACUGUGGAAGGAUGAAUGUGGAUAUACUCGUAGCAGAGAAAGCCAUUGCAGAUCUGGAAAUCUGGUUUCUGGUCAUACGCGUAUGGCACUAGGCAAUACGCGUAUGAGCAUGGCUGGUGACCGCAGUAUGGGCACAGCAGGCAAUACGCGUAUGGAUGAGGAAGAUGAUGUUUGUGAACGUGUUUGUCUCUGUGUGUACGCGUAAUGCGGAAGUGAUACGGCGUAGCAACCGUAUCGGGAUGGGCAAUACGCGUAUGUGAACUGGUCCAUGGCGUGCGGCAUAUACGCGUAUGGGGCAUAGGCAAUACGCCGCUGCCGGAAUUGGUUGCUAUGUGAGCAUUUAUGUAGGUGAGCGAUUUUCCCGAUACAUCCAGGAUAUCUGAGACUGUAUUUGGUUCGUAUCAGGGGCAACCUGUGAUUUUCAUAGUAGUUGGCAGUGGAUUACAUGGGUCCCCACACCCAGGGCAGAGAUGAAUACUUAGCUGGAAUGCAUGUAUACGAGGCGAUCAUUUCCCGUUCUUGAGUGGGUAUAGAUGAUUGGUAGAAGCUGCUGAUAAAUACUGUGUUGAUUACUGGGCAUGAUGUAUGAUAUGCUUUUUGUGAUAGACAUGUUCGUUAAUUGAUGAUGUAUACAUGACUUAUGAUGCCUGGUUGUUGCUAAUGUUGAUUAUGAUGCAUGCUUGGUGUUGCAUUGCAUCUGCAUGACGAAGCCGAUGCUAGUGGUGAACGACCUGAGUUCCAAGAUGUUGGUUGACCGGGCUUGUUGAGAGGCUUGGUCCUUGGCGGGGAACUUCGGAUUCUAUGGUGAUGAAUCUGGGAGUGGUGAUCUGUAGCUUGUCACAAAAUGGGUAUGACGAAUCGUGUUGAGUCAACUGCAUGGGUGUGUGAUUGCAUUUGAAAUAUGUUGUUUUGUGAUGUUCUGAAUAUGUUGAUAUGAUGAGCUGUGUUAGCAUCUGUGAAAUAUAUUUAGUGUUUAUCAUUUCUUCGUUAUAUAUUAUUUAAUAAUGUAAUUCUCACCCGCUUCUGCAUGUUUUAUGUUCAUCUAUGAUGAGCCAUGUGCAGAUAAAUGAGAGUUAGCUAUUUGUUGAGGUUUGAGGAAUAGUGUAGAGUUAUUCUAACAGGGUCGAGGUCAAAUGCGUGGUCAUGUGACACGGGGUAUGGGAUUUCGAUAGAUUAAUUGAUUAUUAUUUAGUUGGUUUAUGAAUAGACUAACAUAGUUGAGAUGUUUUGUUGGAGAUACAUGUUGAACCAUUAUUAUGAAUUGUUAUAUGAUGAAUGAAUAAUAUUAAUAUUGUUGUCCGCUGCGAAUUUUAAUAAAUAAAAAUAAUAUGUUUUUUUAUGUUGUGAUGCGAUAAAUUGUUAUGUAUAAGAAAUUAAUACUGCUCUACAUGUUGAACUCUGAUAAUCUAUUUAAAUAUGUCGUUUGGGUAGAUAGGGUGUUAGCAAUAUGCCAAUACAGCGUCUACUCAUCUGUGCUGCGAAACAAUAAAGUCUGGGGCCUGUCGACACCACUGGAGAAAAGGACGGGCCACCAAGAAUACAAAACGCAUCAACGCCGAAACUUCACAAGAAAACACCAUGCUGGAAACUGCUGCUGGAGAAAACAAGUCUUCAACAACACUCUGCUUGUGACUAUACUGGGAACAACGCCAACAACAACUCUGUUUGAGGAUAAAAAAACAACCCAACAAAGAUCUAAGAAAAGAUCAUACCAAACCAGCGCAUAGUAACAAAUGUCUUAACACUGUGGAAUCAUGCACCCUCGGAGAGCACCUGAGAUAUUCUUGAGUAUGCCUUUCAAUCUUGUGAAUGUUCACUUUUUCUAAACAAAUAAUUGAACCAAUUUAUUUGUUUAAACAAUGAUAAUUUUAUCAUUAAACAUGCAAAAACAUUCGUUGAAUUGACACAAAUAGAGUGCAAAUAAUUGAUAAAAACUCAAUUGAUUUGAUGGAAUGGAGCCCUUGCAAAUGGCAAGAACUCCAUCAGAUCUGUACAAAUUUGAAAAUCAGUGAUAUAUAUGAAGAGGGCCUCUACAUGAACAUAAUGAUCCUUCUCUUACGCAAUUGAAUCUUGUGUAUCCGAGCUUCAGUUGGAACGACGAAGUUCGACGAAUCUUCUGACGAAAUGACGACUGGUGCACGGCAGAAAGUCUUGUUCAGGAUGCAGUUUACUUGCCAAAUCCCUAAUUUUUGCCUAGAUUGGCCCAGGGUGAGGAUACUCAAUCUAGCGGGAUGCAAAUAUUUCCUUUUUUUCAGUCUCUAAAUUUUUGCCUGGAUACUUUGCGGGUUCUCACGCGAGACGCGCAUCUUUUGCGCUAAGCGCCCUUUCGGUUUCACUUAUGCGAGCUAUUCUGUUUUUUUUUUUUUCUUUGCACAUAUACUUUUUUUUAGGGCAAAGUAUUCUCUUGACUGCAUCUGAAUUUCACAGGACGAGUGAAAUCCUCCCCAUUCAUUGUUGUAAGCAUCAAAGCACGCCUGAAAAAGGCUCUCUUAACAACAUUGCGACCCGCUCGACGUUUGGAGUCCCCAACUUCCCGCUUGGAAUCGGCGCGAAAGACAAAACUUCUUGAGCAGCAAGGUCACCUUCUCGGAACACACGAGGCUUGACCUCUUAUCGAAUGCUUCUUCAUUCUCUGCUGAUAUAGCUGACCAUGGCAUCAUGGCAAGUUAAACGCUUCUCUCGAUCAAAUUCAGUUGGUCGUAAGACUCCUGAUCCCAUUCAGCAUCAGUCAACUAGGGACCUGAGGUAUACUUUUUUCUUUUUCUUAUUGAAAAAAUAUUUGGAAAUUUUUUCCUGAUUUUUGAUUUUUCAUUUCUUUUGCACCCCUCUGCUUUUUUUUUUUUUUUUUUUUAAUUUGCAUUUGCAAUGCCCAAGUUUUCGACUGUUCUUUGCUGCACUUCUCAUGAUACAGAGCUGAAUGAGCUCCUUUGUGGCUCAGAAGGCGGUAAUUCUCAUCAGGAAUCCGCCCUUCCAACAUCAUCUUCGCUCUGCUUCAGAAUACAGGGAAUGUCAAAAUUGGGAGAUGACGUUGGAUGCAUUAUGUCAAUGGGUUUAGACAAAUCCCUGCAUAAUGAUUUCUGAUAAUGAAAAGCUUGGAUUUUAAACAGCAAAUCAUUUUAUGCAAGAUGAAAAUAUGUUGUUUCUACUGUUUUUCAUGGUUUUUUGUGAUCCCCUGAUUUCAUCGCAGAAGCAAAAAGUCGAAAACAUAAUGGAAAAAACAAAUGUUUGACAAUGCAUUAAUUGAAUGAAAACAUCAUCUGCUAUUAAAUGCUGCGCAACAAUGUUUCAUCCACCUUCUGCCUUUGGCAUCGAGGAGAAGGGUUUUAAACAAGGUGAACAAAUCACGCUGACCUUAGUGAAUGACCGUCAGGAACACAUCCACAGCGACGCCAAUUGUGGCAGACACCACGCAGGAAUGAGAAAUUGUUCACGUCCUCUUGCAUCCUCUCAAGAUAGCAGCAACUUCUUCUUGCAGGUUGAUCAUACACUGGAUACACCUCCACUUGUGACAAACCUUGCUCAUGUACAUGCCCAGAACAUAGCCCAAUGCCAGCCCGGGAUCGUUAACCAGGAAUAAUCAUCAACCAGGAAUAAAUCCACAAAGCAUUUAGGCUGGCAAAUUCCUCCCCUGAGUUCACAAACUCUCUUGCUCAAGAUGAUCCAUCAUCUGGUUUGAGAAUGACUCUGGUAUAAUACCGGCAAAGUGCGUCUUCAAAAUAAAUGAGAUUGGCAGGUCAGACGCACAGGACCGGGAGACCGAACAAAACCACCUGUUUAUGCAAAUGAUCAUGAGUGAUAUGCAUAUGCUUGUUUUUUUAUUUACAAAGCAACUCAGGUUUUAUUUGCAAACUUUGAAAUUUAAAGCAUUUAUCGUAUAUGAGAAUACUCAUCAGAUAUAUCAAAGUUUGAAAUUUUUGGGCAAAUAACUCCUUUGAGUCCCUUGAAAAUUUUCUUUUCUGAUGAUAUGAUGCGAUGAAUGCGUGAAUGCUAUGAACUGCAACAAUCACACUCAAAGAUAAGCAAGACACACGAACCAGAGGUCGUGGAAAGCUCAAAACGUAUCCCUAAUUCAAAUCCCUCCAUUUUGGUGGCCUUUAGGUUUUCCCUAUCGACACCCAAAGUUUCCAUUGAUAUUAACGGUACGCUGAACGGCUCUAACAUGCCUUAAUAUCAACCAGGCCGCUUUGAGUUGGAUUUUAAGGUUUACACUGAUCGCGGAUCCCUUGAUGAUUCAACGAUGUUUGAACGACUCAACCACGAUAUCAACGGUUUGCUGAGAAGUCACGAGCAUCGGGAGUUUCUCGGUUCAGAACCACCCAAAUGGGAGUGUACUAGGGUUUAAAACCUGCCAACAUGUUCUAUCAGAGGUUCUCAUAGUCAUCGUUCCAUCUCUAGAAUAUUAUCGAGAACGAAUACUCGUAUUCCAUAGAAUAUUCUCAAGAGAACUCCUUAUGAGUGUAGUAUCGCGUACACAUCGCAUCAGAACUUACAUCUGAACGACCUCCGGCACUACGGUCGCUAAAAUAGGCCAAGAUGGGUUUGUUAAACUAAGGUCCUUGGCUUCUGCGGAAACAUGAUUGAAAGAAUAAUACCUACCACAAUAACCUCUGUGUGACAUUAUUAAUAUCAACAGACCCCACCAAAGUGAAUGGAGCUCGCAAGUCAACUGGCUAAGGAAUACUCCACACCAGUCAACAAGACUAUGCAUUCUCCUAUCUAGAGUGCACUCGAGUUCCGGGACAGAACUCCAUUCUCACAGAUCAGCAAAGCAAACAGCCAUUGUAUACUCAGCAAUUCCAAACAUUCAUCAAUACAGUAUCCCAUUGUACAGAAAAUCAUGUCACAUAACAUAAUAAUAUAGCACAACAAUGGUGAAAAGUAAGGCGUACCACCCAGAGAUUCUGGUGAAGCCCAGCAGAGUCCGCCACUUUUCUGUAGCGUGUAUUCGUCGCCAUAUGAUUUAUCGAUUAAUCAUAAGCAAGNNNNNNNNNNNNNNNNNNNNNNNNNNNNNNNNNNNNNNNNNNNNNNNNNNNNNNNNNNNNNNNNNNNNNNNNNNNNNNNNNNNNNNNNNNNNNNNNNNNNNNNNNNNNNNNNNNNNNNNNNNNNNNNNNNNNNNNNNNNNNNNNNNNNNNNNNNNNNNNNNNNNNNNNNNNNNNNNNNNNNNNNNNNNNNNNNNNNNNNNNNNNNNNNNNNNNNNNNNNNNNNNNNNNNNNNNNNNNNNNNNNNNNNNNNNNNNNNNNNNNNNNNNNNNNNNNNNNNNNNNNNNNNNNNNNNNNNNNNNNNNNNNNNNNNNNNNNNNNNNNNNNNNNNNNNNNNNNNNNNNNNNNNNNNNNNNNNNNNNNNNNNNNNNNNNNNNNNNNNNNNNNNNNNNNNNNNNNNNNNNNNNNNNNNNNNNNNNNNNNCUUACAAUUGUCCUCAAUGGGCAAACAGCAAUGACAAUAUCACAAAGACAAAUGAGAUGAUUGUGCAUUAAUGAGCAAUUAAUGAUGAUGAUAAAUGCAUGAAGCAUACAAGCAAACAUGUGCAUAUGAAGUAAUCAAUCAAUCAAUCAAUAUCAAACAGCACACUCUAUAGCCAAACAAGGAGGCUCACACAAGAGGGUUAGGCACUGAGGCCAACUGGAAUAGGGUAAAAAGUUGCUCUUAACCUUGCCAUUGAGAGGCUAAGGUGAAGCAGAUGAAAGGAGAUGAGGGGUGUGCCUCAUUGCUCUUAUCCCUAAUCAGGGAGAGCAUUUCAGAAAGUGUGGGAGUUCAGAAAGUAGGAACUCUCUCCACAUUAUUGACUCGAUUGAUCUUGGGUUUUGAUCUCAAUGCUACAACCAUGUAAUGGGAGCAAGGAGAAGACUCACAGAAUAGUAGGGGAUAGGUUGCUUAUCCCUUUGAUCUACCAAUUGCCUUAUUUGAAGGACUUUUCCUGCCUGGGACAAAUAUAAACACACACAAGCAUUGCCUCUUAAGGAGGACUUCAGACAGUUUGCCCGGCCAAAUAACAGGCCGGGUCUCCAGACUACAUGAAGAAAGAGGGAUUACCUCAAAGCAAAUUGCUAAAUAGCAAAGCAAAGCAAGUUCAAAGAACUAAGCAACUAAUGGUACCUGAAAUAGUCAAACAGAAUCAGUACACAGUUCAAAAGUCAAAGCAAAAUGAGAAUAGAAUUAACAGUCAACAUAAUCAGAUGAAUGUGCAAAGCACAAGGCACAAGGCUUAUGAGCCAAGCAACCUACAAAACAAAGAGGUUAGCACAUGAUAAACAAUCAAGCUCAAACAAAUUGGAUUGUUCUCUUUGAAGCAUUGUUGCUUAACCUGAAACAAUGAGCUCAAAUAUAAGCAACAAGACCACUAGGACAAGCCUAGGGUCAAAAUGAAAUGAGAAAGUCAAAACAGCAAGGGAUGGUCAACCAAAACCAAGUUUAAACAAUCAAGAAGCAAACUCAAUUGGUCCCACAUGCAUAUCAUUCAUCAUCAUGAUUUUAUAGACAAAAGAAGUCAAAACAUGGCAAAUGAAAGCUCAUAGAAGUCAACAGCAAGACUUGCAUCAAAAGUCAACUCAAACAUUUUCAAAAAUCACCAAAUAAUUCAUGAUCAAUCCUAACACUUAGCAUGGUAAGCGUGUAAAAUUUCAUCACAAUUGGACAAGUGGAAGGCAGUCAAUGAAAAUCAUGAAGUCAAAGCAAAUUUGAAUAUGCUCAAUGAAGUCAAACAAACAUGUAUCAACUUCAAAAAAUCAUAACUAAAUGAGGAAUACAAAUGCCAACUUGCAGGGACUUACAGUUGUAUCCUCACAUACAAACAAACAAAGCAACAUGUGAUCAUAGGAAAGCAAAUGCCAACUUACAGGGACUUACAAUUGCAACCUCACAUAUAAUCAAAUGCAUCAAGCAAAGAUAAGAUGAGUGGCCAAUGAAAUGGUCUUAUACUCACUUCCAUAUCAUAGGAGCAAUGGCCAAUGGAUGGUCUUACAAUUGUCCUCAAUGGGUAAACAACAAUGAUAAGGUCUUAAAGACAAAUGAGAUGAUUAUGUAUUAAUGAGCAAUUAAUGAUGAUGAUAAAUGCAUGAAGCAUACAAGCAAGCAUGUGCAUAUGAAGCAAUCAAGCAAUCAAUGAAUAUCAAAUAGCACACUCUAUAGCCAAACAAGGAGUCUCACACAAGAGGGUUAGGCACUGAGGCCAACUGGAAUAGGGUAAAAGAUUUGCUCUUAACCUUGCCAUUGAGAGGCUAAGGUGAAGCAGAUGAAAGGAGAUGAGGGGUGUGCCUCAUUGCUCUUAUCCCUGAUCAGGGAGAGCAUUUNNNNNNNNNNNNNNNNNNNNNGACAAGAAUGUGUGGGUUCAGAAAGUGGGAACCCUUCUACACAUUUAAAACUGACUCAACUGUACAAUUGUACAAGAUCUUGGGUUUGUAUCUGCAAUGCAUCAACACAGUGGUGUGAGCAAAGCAGAUGACACACAGAAUAGCAGGGGAUAGGUUGCAUAUCCCUUGGGUUCUGCCAAUUGCCUCUUCACUUAGGAGGUCUUUGACUAUGUACAAGGACAAAUUAAACAUACACAAGCAUUGCCUCUUAAGGAGGACUUCAGACAGUUGCCUGGCCAAGUAACAGGCCAGGUCUUCCAGACUACAUGAAGAAAAGGAAUUAUACCUCAAGCAAGUUGCUAUAAAGCAAAGCAACGCAAGUUCAAAGAACUAAGCAACUAAUGGUACCUGAAAUAGUCAAACAGAAUCAGUACACAGUUCAAAAGUCAAAGCAAAAUGAGAAUAGAAUUAACAGUCAACAUAAUCAGAUGAAUGUGCAGAGCACAAGACUCAAAUCAUAUGAGUCAAGCCACCUACAAAACAAAGAGGUUAGCACAUGAUAAACAACCAAGCUUAAUCACAUUAGAUUGUUCUCUUUGAAGCAUUUGUGCUUAACCUGAAACAAUGAGCUCAAACAUAAGCAACAGGACCACUAGGGCAAGCCUAGGGUCAAAAUGAGAUGAGAAAGUCAAAACAGCAAGGGAUAGUCAACCAAAAUCAAGUUCAAACAUUUAAGAAGCAAACUCAAUUGGUCCCACAUUCAUAUCAUUCAUCAUCAUGAUUUCAUAAGCAAAAGAAGUCAAAGCAUGGCAAAUGAAAGCUCAUAGAAGUCAACAGCAAGACUUAGCUCAAAACCAAUCAUAAACAAUUCCAAAAAUCAGCAAAUAAAUCAUGAUCAAUCACAAUCCAUAACAUGACAUGCAUAUGAAAUUUCAUCUCAUUUGGACAAGUGGAAGGCAGUCAAUGAAAAUCAGAAAGUCAAAGCAAUUUUGGACAUGCUCAAAGAAGUCAACCAAACAUGCAUCAACUUGAAAAAUUUAUAAAUCAGGGAUGGCAUAUGAUAAAUGAAUGGGACUAAAACCAUGGCAAAGCUUAGGAUGUCUAGUUAUCUCAUGUAAAAUUUCAUGUCCAUCUAAUAAAGUAUGAGAAUUUCACAAAACAAAUGGGCACAUGCAUCACAUAAGGUCAACAUUUUGGUCAAACAGGGGAGAAAAUCUCAAACAAAUGGAAAAUGCCAUGAACAAUUCCACAAAAAAUCACAUACAAACUAGACAUAUAAGAGUAGGUUCAUGCAAAAAAUCAAUCCAUUUGGAGGUCAAUAGACAUGGCUAUAAAAAUCAACAAGUUGCACAUCAAUGGUGUGACACAAAUUGUCACACCUUACUUCAAAAAUUCACAACUCACAAUCCAGAAAUGAGAAAUUCACAAACUCUACAUCAAAAUAAACAUGAAUGUGUCUAGUUUGUGCUCAAAAAGUUUCAAGUCCAUAGGAUAAGUCAUGACCAUUUCACAAAGGGUUUGGCAAAAGGUACAAAAUAUUGUCACAUGUUACAAACCCUAUCACCAUUUAAAAACCACUCAUCCAAAAAUUCUGGAAAAAAAUAUGAUUAAAAACUAGAGGUUGUGAUGAACAUUUAGCAAAAAAUCUCAUGAAUUUUGGAUAAUUAUUGAAGGCUCUAUGAUUUUUCAAAGUCGUGUGACAAAAAUGAAAUAAAAAUUUUGAAAUGAAAUGAAUUAAGAGAAUUAAAAGGAAACGGUGGCAGAAUUGUAAUUAAAUGAAGAAGCUGGGGGCCAAAACGAAAUCGCUCCACUUACUGAUGUGGCGACCACUUAAAUGGUCUCAUCCCGCGUGGCAUGGUCAACGGACGCAGGGCCAAUGGAAUGGCCACUGGGCGUCCACGUAGGCUCAACAGUGACCGAGCCCUAGCACAGUGGCUCUGGUUCGCAGACGCCGGCCGGUGCGGCUGAAACAACCGUCUCCUUCGUGGAGACGGCGGAGCAACAGUGCUCCUCUUCCAAAAUUUCCCAGAAUCCUAAACUAAAUAUACCAAACGAAAGGUUUUCGAUCCUAGGUUCCGAAUCCAAGGCCCAAUCACUCUAAUUCAUCACCAAUUCCUCAAAUCGAAGGGAAGAAAAAAUGGUAUCUAAACUUCAAACGCACCUAACUUCGCCUACAGUGCACCAUUUCAUUCGAAAAUUAUAUCAACAGAAUCAGGGUGAAAGGAACUUCAUGAUUAUAUGCUUAUAAACAAGAAAUAUGCCACGCGAAUUCUGGCCUUUUUCUGAAGCUUUAUCCAUGGCAGUGAUGGGUUUGGGGUCCUUUGGCCUUGGAAGAAAAAAACAGAAGCUCCUCAAUACUCCAGUAGACGAAUGGAUGAAGGAUUGAAGUUCAAUAAUGCUUGGUUAUUCUCAAAAUUCCAACUGUCAUGAAAAUGCUCAAUGUACAGUUCAAAAAAAAACACAGCACGAAAAUGGUGAUUUUCUAGCUCAAAUUCACCUCCAGAAGGUUUGUGUAUGUUGGAACAAAAGGGAUCAAGGCAAGUUCUAUGAAGAUUCUCAAAAAAAUUCAAAUGGAGCAAAAUGAGAAAUUUUGAGAAAAUGCCAUUUUCUGUUUUAGUGUAGUGUGCUAGGGUUCUGCAGAGGUAAAAUGAAGCAUUUAUAUGUUGUUUAGCAUCUGUUUAAUCAAGGUUUAUGGAGAGUGAAAACAGAAUUUGCUAAUCAAGCCAUUUUGCUAAUUGACCAUUUUUUCACUUAAGUGGCAAGGUGGAGNAGCCAACCAAAAAUUCAGCAAAAAUCAUGAUAAAAUAGUAGACAUUCAACAGGACAUGAUGCAAAAAAUUCCAUGAUUUUUGGAGUUGAAAUGAAAAUGUUAUGAAUUUUGUAAGUUGAAGAAUGAAUUUGGAAUAAGUAAACAAAAUGAACAUGGUUUGGAUAAGUCAACGGUUGACCAGUGGCAAUUUUGUAAAUCUCGGCACCACUAAUCAAAACGGUGCGCUUAAGGCCAGGCACAUGAAAUGUUCUCAUUGGUUGUCACCAAUGGAACAGUAACUCAAGCAGAACAACAGCCAAUCCAUACACGAGUUCUGGGCAGCUUUAGGGUUUUUAAAGCAGCAAAUUCACUUUCAUGGUCAUCAUUAUGAGAAAAACGAAAUUCACCCAGACUUCAUAAAUAUCAUGGCAAUGAAACAGUAAAUUCAUGCAACAUCAUUCCAAAGCAAAGACCAAAAAUGAUUUAAAGAAAAAUCUGGAAAAUAGUUCUUAGAGUUUCAACAGCCACAGCAAUUAACUUCAUCACUACCAAUCAAUCGUGAAAAUCAGAUGCCCAGAACAUGAAUAGCAUGGCAUCAAGCCCAACAUCCAGUCAUCAUAAAUCCAGCAAGCAUUAACAUUAAAUCGAGCUAAUCAUCAAGAAUCUUGCAAAAUAAAAUGACUAACAAACUUUAACUCAGAUUUCUCCUGAUAGUCAACCAAUUCAAUGAUACAAUUCAAUGGACAGCAAUGAAUAUUCUACCAUAAACAUAGCAUGGAUUAGAGAAAGGGAGACACAAUCUUACUUGGAUUUGAAGAAACUUGAGAUGCAGUGGUUAUUGGGGCUUCAAGCUCAAACAGGUGGAGAUAUAUUUGGAAAUGAUGAAUACUCGAGGAAAGCUUAGCUCAUGUAUGCUUGGAAGAGUCCAAAUCUCGAUUGCCAUUGAAGAUGCUUGAAGAAAACAGAAUAUGAAAUUAUCUUCCAGCUGGGUUUGUUGCUUGAAAAGGCUCUCAAAUUGGCUAGAUCAUGAACAAACAAGAGAGCUCGUGGCCUUUUGAAAUCUUUGAGCAGAAAUUGCAAUUUUUCAAAAUGCAAAAUGAGAGAAUGAGAGUUUCUGUGCUGUUUUCAGGCUGCUGCUAGGUUGAAUCUCACAGAAAAUGAACUAUUAUGGACUGUUAGCAUUAGUAAUGAUAUGCUAAGCUUGGUUAACUCAAAUGAAGCAAAUGCCAAAUUGCUAAUUUCCAAUAUAUGCAUAUGGGGUGUAUGUUCUGCGAGUUUGGCCUUGUGCAAGCUUCAAAUGACAUCUAAUCAAUCCCAAAUGGCAACUUGACAGAAAUUACUUAAUCAAAACUCAAAUUUUCACUUCACUUGAAAUUCAACCAUGCUAGGUUCAAAAAUGCCAUUUUGAUUGGCAAUGUUUUGGCACAUGAAAUUUAUAUUUUUGGAAAGAGGAGGUAAAAUGUGGUUUGUAGGAAAAACCCCCACUAAAAUGCUGUGUUCAUGAAUAUGGCUCUUUGAAGUUCAAAAUUUGUGAAAAUGAAUGAUCAUAUCUGACAACCAUACAUGGGAUUUGAGAGUUCUUGGACUUUUUGGAAAUGGGAGAACAAGAUCUUCAACUUUCAUGUUGGGCAAAAAUUCAUUUGAAGCUUGUAUCAUGAUGUAGGUUGAGGAUCGAGAAGUUUCCAUUUUUGGCAGUUAAAAUUACAGGUCCACUUUCUAUUUUGGGAAAUUUUCUGAUUGACUUGAUUUUCUUCCAUGAUGGUAUUUAACAUGAUAUAUGAGGCUUAUAUAAGCAUGAAUGAGACCUCUCAGACCAAAUCCCAUCACCAAAUCACUGAUUAAAUGGAUAGUUGACCAAGUUUGACUUCAGUUGACUUUUCUAGGGUUUUGCAUGAUUGAAGCAUUUCUGAUGAAUUCCAAACCCUAAUUCCUUGAGAACUUGACUUCAAAUGAUGUCCCAAGUUGUAUGAACUUUUGAUUAUUGAUCAUGGUGCCCAAAUUCUGCAAGAAUGACCACCAUCCACUGCUUUGACUGACUGUUGACUGUCUUUGACCUAAUUGCUGAUGAUUGCUUCAACUGCAAGCAACAAGGUUAGACUGACAAUAUUUUUGUACUUUUUGGUUAGUAAACAUAUGAAAAAUGCUGAUGAUUGCUUCAACUGCAAGCAACAAGGUUAGACUGACAAUAUUUUUGUACUUUUUGGUUAGUAAACAUAUGAAAAGCAAAGAUAUACAAAUGCAAGACAUGCUUGGUGAUCAAGAAUCAACACUCACAAGGCAAAACCCACUAGGAGGGAAGCUAGGGCAUGCAAUGAUCCUUGAGGCCAUGAUAUGAUAUGAUAUGGGCCAUGAGGGAUCUUAGGGCCCAAAAUUGGGGUCUUACAGUACUCUGAUGUCUUGACUGAUGUCAUGACAUACUUGAGUAGUAUGUUACAGGUUUAGCUAAUACAGGAUUUACUGAAUGUCAAACUAGAUGUUAUGACAUUCAUCCAUGACAACAAAUACUGAACUAUAGAAUAGUUGGUUUUUUCUGUUAUAGCUCAGUAUUGAGUUCAGUCUGUGUUUCAGAAGGGUAGUAGACCUGACACAUAGCCUACUGUCUGAAUGUCAAACAGAAUGUUAUGACAUUCAUCAUUGACAGCAUUUACUGAAUAAUAGGCAGGUUGGUUUUUCUGCUACAGUUCAGUAUGUAUUUCAGUCUGUUUAUCAAGGGAAUAACAGACCUGGCAUAAGGCUCAUUGUCUAAAUGUCAAAUUGGAUGUUCUGACAUUUAUCUCUGUCAGCUGAUACUGAAGGGUAGACUAGUUGGUCUUUUACAGUACAUCAUUUAAUACAGUCUGUUUUCAGGAAAAUAACAGACUUAGCAUAUGGCCUAUGUUCUGGACGUUAAACGGAAUGUUGUGACAUUCAUUCCUGACAACAUAUGCUAAAGUGUAGGAUGAUUAGUUUUUCUGUUUCAGUAUUUUUCUCAGGCUAUUUUUCAGGAAUCCAACAGCUGAGCUAAAAUCCAGGAAACUAACAACUGAGCUACAAUUAAUGAACCUAACAAAUAGCCUAUUUGUUAACACCCUAAUAUGUGGAAACUAGGUUAACUUGCUUAACCUUAAUUUUAGGAAAUACAAGUACAAGGCCCAAGUGCUGCAACAUAAAAGGAUGGCAAUCCUUCUUUCAGAACUCAGGGGUUUUAGGCGUGAAGCUUUCAUUGUACCAUCAUACUUCACUGCUGUAUUUUUGUUUGUGUCUUGUAUUAGGUGUAACUUGUGAGCCAAGCAAUUAUCACGAUCUACUAACGUAACCUGAUCCCACAAGUAAGAGUUGUAAGUGUUGUGUCACUCUAAGCUUUUAAGCGUGAGUGCUAUGUAUCUUGAUUAAAGCUGUUAAGCACAAUCAAGAGUUGUUUGAAGUGUAACUUCACCAUUAACUUUAAUCUAAUUAAAGGUUGUAAUCACCGUGGUGAUUGAGGGGGAGUGAGUAGGAACUCUGGUCUUAGUUUAAGAUUGAAAUUGCAUUGGGUAAGUAUUAAGUGAUAGGAUUAAACAAGUGGUUUAAGGCCUGAAUUAAUACUGCUAAUAGUGUAUUUCCUCUCUGGCUUGGUAGCCCUCAGACGUAGGUGUGUGUGACACCGAACUGGGUAAACAAUUCCUUGUGUUAUUUACUGCACUUACAUUUACCUGCUGUUUACAUUCCUGUCUGCGCAGAAUCGGAUGUCAUAACAUCCUGUGUGACAUCGAUAAUCUGUUAACUAGAAUUUCACAUAUUUUUCCAUCCCAUCAUCAACACUUUUAACCAAUAUUGCUUCUUCGUUAAACCUUUCAAUGUCGAUCACAUCGGCCCGUCCUUCUCAUAUCGGAUGGGUCAUAUGCUUUCUAAUGACUUAGGAUGUCGUCGAGACUUCGUGAAAUGCAGAUAAAUGUAUGUGAAAUUCUCCCUAAGAAUUGAUUGACUUGUGCCUUAACCCCCUACACGAAGUCACGACCCCUACCUUUAGAGCGAAGAUAAAUAAUUCACACUUCUCGAGGCCUCUUGCUCCCCUAAAGGUCAAGAUGAUGUCAACAAGCUCCACGUGUUUGUUGGGGUCGGUCAUCCUGUCAUAAGUUCCCAUUUCCAUGGGUUUUUGAAGUUCCCCCCUUAUGAGGUACUCCUUGAUUCUCCUGCUAAAAAGCGCGUUGGAAUGAGAUGUCUUCAUCCUUUUCAAAAUCAUUGGAGGAUAAGGAACACAAGGAACAUAGUCGAUGGUGGCCACAAUGUCUUGGUCACUUACCUUCGCAUUCCGACUCCAACAUAGAAUGCCUUCUUGGUAGUGGCGAACAGGGUUUACGUCUCUACUGACCUCAAGGUCAUUUUGAUAAUCGAAAAAGUCACGAUUCGUUACUAUAUCAUUAUGGAAUCUAAACGGUAGAAAGUAGUUGAGACUUAAAGUUUCAACCCCUCAGAGUUGUCCAUUUCAAAACUUCAAGGUUGCUUAUUGUUUAAAAAUGAACAUAUCAUUAAUUUUAAGUGUAAAAAUAUAAAAAAAUAAUUAAAUCAAUUGAAUUUAAAAAACAUAGAGAUUAAAAAUGAUAAGGUUUUAAUAAUCUUUUGAUCCUUAUAAAUUUAAGUGUUUUUAAUUUUCAUCCCUAUCUUUUUUUUUUCUAAAAAUAAACUCUGAAUUUUGAUUUUAAUUCUAAAAUUAAAAUCCACAUUUUCCAAUGAACCACCAAAAAAAAACACGUGUUAUUACAAUAAAAAUUCUAAAUUAUAAACACUAAUGAUAAAUUAUUGAUGCUUACAUUAUCUAUAGUUUUUCAUUUUACUAUUACUAUUCUAUAGCAUCCAAAUCCCAAAUUUACAAUCGAACGGGUUGUAGUUUCUCCUCUGGUGCACCAGCUGCAGACGAUCCUACCUCCUCUCUUUCUUCCUUCCUCUCAUCUUCUCUUCCACCAUUUCUGUGCAAAAUCAGAAACCUCAACUUCAAUAACUUCAACAUCGACCCGUAAAAAGAUCCGAAUGAGGGAUUCGAAUCUGGAUUUGCAGGAAUCGGGUUGGGAAGAACUUCGAAAGGAAGCGCGUAAGAUCGAAGGCGAUCUCGACGUCAAGCUUUCUUCCUACGCCAAGCUCGGUGCUAGAUUUACUCAAGGAGGUUCCGUUCCUUUUCGUUUCUUUGUUGCAUUCAUUUUUCGCAAUUCGUUUUCCAUUGAAUAAUCGUAAAUGCAUUGUGUCAAACCAAAGAAAUAUUUGUAGGAGAAUUGUGUCUGUGUUGAAUUGAAUGGUUUUUGUUAUUGGUGGUUGUUUGGAUUCAAUUUUGAGAGAGAUAAGAAUGGUUUUAGUAUGUGAUCUGAUGUUGACUGAGAGAUGGCUGGAGCGUUUGCUCUGUGGUGCGAGUCGGUGGUGCUAGCUUGCCGCCGCCAAGGAUGGUGUGGUUGAAAGCACUCACUUUGAAAAUUAUGGCGAAAGUUGAUCUAUGUAGUCGACUUGACUCCAGUUAGUGGGACAGGGCUUAUUGUUGUUGUUGAUUGAGUUAAGGUGAAAGGUGAGAAAUAUGGUGUACCUUUUAUAGUUGAGGCUAUUGAAGUAGUAUUGGAGUUCUACAUUACCAAGGUUUUCGAGUGGUUGGAUGUACAUAUGUGGUUGAACACCCUUAUCUUAUAAGCUGGUUUUUGAGAGUGAGAUCCAAGUCCAUUUAACAUGAGAUCAAAGCGGGGUUAAGGAUUUCAAGAUGCUAACUGGACUUAGGACCUAUGCUGGGCGUGAGGGUGAGGAUUGAAGUUGUAUUGGAGUUCUACACUGCCAAUGUUUUCGGAUUGUUAUGAGCUAAUUUUUGAGAUGAGAUAUGAACCCGUUUAACAUAGGUGUCAAGGU
Molecule: long non-coding RNA, 51141 nt
Filed under: Lathyrus oleraceus (garden pea)
Lineage: Eukaryota; Viridiplantae; Streptophyta; Magnoliopsida; Fabales; Fabaceae
Description: Pisum sativum (pea) long non-coding RNA (PSAT_LNC036654)
Source: RNAcentral